UAUAUAUAUAUAUAUACAUAUAAUCUAUAUCUAUACCUACUAUUAAAGCAAGGUGAUAUUCUUAGUUCCGUCCCGCGAUUGAUUUUUUUUCCUGGCAGUUUUACAAAAAAGCCCCUCGGUUUACAUAAAUCAACCCGCAGUCCCUGUUUUAGUGGCAAUUUAGAAAAAUGUUUUGUUUUUGCGUAAAAAACCCCUGCAUUUGUUAGAAAUUAUACCCGCAACCCUUAUCUCUUAUUGGACUGGCUCACCACCGCGCCUCUCACCGCUUAUCCUGCCGUUCUCCAUGAGCGGGCACGCGCCGCCGCUUGCCACCGGCGUCGUGGCGGGCGUCCGCGCCGAGGCGGACAGGAGACCCAAGUCAAAGGCUGGUCAUGGGGAAGGCCUCGGCGGGAAGACUCGAGGAGGUCUCGAGCGCGACAGGGAGCUGGCCGGAGCGCACGGACAGUGGGGGGGCUUCCGUCGUCCAGGCACAGGCUGGAUACGGCCCCGCGGCGCGAGUGUGCCGGCAGCAUGGGGAGGGGAGGGCUGGAGCACGGGCGCGCACGCAUGGGAGGAAAUAGUCGUCCCCUGGCGCGGGGUCAACGGCUUGGGAGCGCUGACCGCAUCGACCCAGGCGGCGCGGCUACAGAGUGAUGCAGGGCACGGCAGUGACGGGUCACGGCACCGCGGGCGGCGGACGGAGCGACAGAGAGAGGUGGGGCGCGGGCGAGCUUGUGCUCGUGCUCGAGCGCCUGAAGAAGAUGGCGCGGCGGCGGAGUUGAAGCGCCUUGGCGAGCUCGGGCUACACGGCUGCGAGUCGGGCUUGGCGAGGAUGCAGGCAGCACGGGACGUCGAUGCCGAGAACUUGGAGGCGGGGAGCCGGUUCCCAGCUUUGGGAGCGCGGGACGACGCGAAGAACAGCAUCGGGUGGCGGAGCACUGCCUCUACACUUGAAUAGAGAGAGAGAGGGGGAGAUAUUCAGAGAGGAUGGAGCAGAAUUGAAAGGGGAAGAAGAGUGAAGGUGAGGGCGACGGGCAGGCAACCUGCGGGGGGCUCCGAUGGCGCGGCCGAGCAUGUGCGAGGACGAGGCACACCUCCCGCUCGAAGAAGAUGCCACCCCAACAUCACCACGAAUCGUGGAGGAGAGGAGUAAUAGCGGGCGAAUCAUGGAGAAGAGGAGUCGCAGAGGGCGCCGGCGGCCGCGGAGGCCCUGCCCCAUCGGCGCUGCAUGGGGAAGGAGGGGGCAGAGAGAGCGAGGCGUGGUGGGGUGGUGGGUUGGCAGAUCGGAGAAAGCCUUGGGAAGGAGGACGCGACUGAAUCAGGUGGAGGCGAGGCUGCUGACCCACGGGACCGGCGACUGGGGCGAACGGCCAGAUCAAGCUUCUGGCUGGGUUGGAUGGAGAAGAGGAAGAGGACCACGCUGGGACGGCGAUCUGGAUAAGAGAAGGAGAGGAGUGGCGAUGGGAUAAGGCAAGCAGUGGGCGGUCGGUGCUUUUCUUCAUGUUGUACCGGCCACACCAUAGAAGCUACUCGGUGCAUGCGUGCUAGCAUCGAUUAUUUAUUUUACGGAAGAGCACCGACUAUUCCUUGAUGUUGUUAGUUGUCACCACAUUAUCAGAUACUCCCUCUGUUAUAAAAUAAGUCUCUCAAUACAAUUUUAUACACAAUUUUAUACUCCCUUCGUUUCUAAAUUUAAGUGUAUUUAAAUUUUUUAAUACGGACUACAUGUGAAUAUAUAUAGGCAUAUUUUAAAGUAAAGAUUCACUCAUUUUGCUCCGUAUGUAGUUUAAAAAGACUUAUAUUUACAAAUGGAGGGAAUACUAUAGUUAAUACAAAGUUGGGACACUUAUUUUAAGACGGAGAGAGUAUACUAAUUAAAAGUGAGUGAAAUAUUAAAAAGAAACAUUUCUUAACAGAGAAGAUAUUUGAAGCUCGCAUGCACUUGCUAACCUUCAAGAUAUUCGUCAACUCUGGAUGUCAUGGAUGUCAUCGGUAAGAUAGGGAGGUGAGAGCGAGGGAUGAAGAAUAGAGAAAGUGCGACAACGGUGCAUCUUGCUUGUGCCAUGUUUCGCUCAGCACAACACCUAGGAGGGGGAGCACUACCCUCCAUUGUACAAUAUGCCCCACAGCUCUGCGUACAUAUUCCUGAUCCUCAUCGAGACCCGAUGAUAAUGGCCAGGGAAGUGGUCAUGUUGGUGUGAAGGGUGUGCUCCUACUGUUGGCGACAACGUGUCAACAAAAGAGUUACACGCAUUGUAAAUUCUUUACUUUCUGGUCAUCAUAUUUUUGAAGUGGGAAAACAUAAAUAUGAAUUAGUGUUAAUAGGGAUUGCGAUAUAUAGGAAUUAAUAUAUGACAUAUUUGAAACUAUUACAGGUGUGCGGAUGAUGCAUACUCUCACAUCGAAGGAGUAGCCGCUGAUCCAUAAAUGGUUAGAUUUUCAUAAUGAUUUUUACACAUAGUUGUUAAAUAACAACAACAUAUUACACAUAAUUCAAUUUAUUUAGAGUGAGUUAAAGAAGUACGUUUUAUGUUUAGAAAAAUAGAUUACGAGCUUUUGGAAUAUAAUAAAAUCUGCAUAAAGUGAAUCUUUAUGAGUCUUAUAACCAAUUUAAUUAGGAAAACUUAUUAUUCACCAUGACAGGUAAACACCUGAGCUUAAUACCACAUGAACUCUCAGAUUUAUUUUAUACCCGGUGCAACGCACGGGCACUUUUGCUAGUAUAAUAUAUAUAAUAUAGGGAAAGAUUUAUCAGGUCGGUUGGCAAGAUUAUCAGAAUUGCUUCCACCGUGAACCGCCGGUACCACGCUUGCUCUCCAUGAGAAUUGACAAAAUUACCAGACACGCACAAAGCCAAGUCCCAAUCAAGCCGUCAGAUGAGACUACGAAUCAGACACUAUUUGUGAAGGUCAAUAAGAAAUUGAUGAUUAACGAUAUAUCAGGUGGAUCACUGCAUCGUUCCACGACCCGGGAGCGGAUUGUCUGCGGGCUCGUACUCCUCGGAAGACCCGCCCCGUUGACGACCCGGACUCUGAAUCGCCCUGCUACCUCAACCCGCUGCUUCGCCGGCGCUUCGUCACUACUGCGCGCGCCUCCACAUUAUCAAAUCGCCGCGAGCCGCCGUCAUUACACGCUGUCGCCAGGUUGCCAUAGGUUCAACCCCAAGUCAUUGCCAUGACCUUCUGUCGCCGCGGGCUGCCGCGCUUGUCUUCAAGCCGGCUCCUCCAUGGCCGAGCCGCCUCCGAGAUGGCGAGUUAACGCCGAGCCGCCGUCACUGUACGCCGUCACUGAAGCUCGCCGAGCCAAGACCGCCGUGGCCCUGCCGGGUCAACACGCCCGCGUUAAACCGCCGUGAGUUGCCGAGCCGCCAAGCGCACCACAAACUACCGCAGGAUAUUCAUUUGAACAGGUAUGGGAUUAAACAUUCGCAUUGUGUUUAGUUGUAGGUUUAUCCGUGGUAUAAGUGUGAAACAAAUAGUAGUUGAAACGUACACUCCAUUUUGAACUUCAUUGCAAUUUAAAUGAGUUAUUUGACAUUAUUGUGAUGAAUAAUACGGCCUUCAAUGGAAAUGAUGGAAGUAACUCGCGUACUAUUUGUGGGCAUCAGGCCUUAGUGCCAUUUAAAUUUUAGCAUCGCAAUUUCAGGUAAGCUAGCUCCCUCCAGGGGUUAUAUCAUGAAAAUCUAGACCCAUUUAAAAGCUCCUUCCUUUUAGUUUACAAGGUUGGCACAUAUUAUCAUGUCAACUUUUACGAUCGUUUAGACCAGUGGUAUAUUUGGGUAAAUAAAAAUUUUAUCCUGUAUAUCACUUGUAUUCAUAAGAAAUACGUGCGGUCCGUCCAAACACAACUUAUUAAUCAUACUUGACCUAUACCUAUAUUUGGAAGAUUAUGUUAUUUUAUAGAAUAUCACACAUAUACCUUCAUACAACUUUUUUUCUAACUAAGUGCUAAUGUUUAUUGUAUUUAUCAUCGAGGUGUUUUUUUUCCAUUCUCACUUUACUUUUACUUUAUAAAUGUAUAUGUCACAAUGGUUUAUUUCCCGGCUAGAGGGAAUUUAUCUAGAUGACGUAGCUACAAUUAAUAUAGUUAAUAUAGUAUGCAUUCCAUGAUCUUGCUUUGCUCAGUUUAUUUGACCCAUUAGAUUUCUUAGUAGGAAUUCUCUUGCCAUUGACCUUAUUUCAAGUACACAAUAACUACAUACUUGCAAACUAAUCCAUCAUCAGGGGAACAAGGUACUACUUGCUUAACUGCAAUCUUUGCAUUUUAAGCUAAAUCAGCUCGAAAGAAAUUGACAUACUUUAGAAUGUAGUACUAAUAAAGAUACAUAAAGUUCAUAAGCAGGGAAUAUUUCUAUAUUUUAGAUAACAUAAAACAAUAUGCAAUCAUAAAGAAAGUAAAUUAAAUACAAAUUAGUGAGGCAUCACAAUUAUACAAAAAAUGAAAACAUACAUACAUAAAUAGUAGUUUUUUUUCAAAUAUGUCAAAAAUAAAAUUUAAAAUUACAAGGUGUUCCACAUGCGUAUCUUGGAACGGAUAGACUAUUUUUCAAUAAACUAGCCCGUGCAAUGCACGGGUUGGCGUCUAGUGCUUCUAAUUAGGGUAAAUUGCAUUUGCUUAGUUUACACAUUAUACCGGUGAAUAUGACAUGCUUUCCUAUUUUUGCUAUACACUACAUCUAUGUGUUACCCAUGUUCUUACAUGAAACUACCUAUCUUCUGUAUCCUGCAUCAAUCACUUACGAUGAGACACAUUUAUUCGUUGCAUAUUGUAUAUUAUUUCUUGCAUGUUGCUAUGUAUUGCUUCUAAUUUGGUCAAAUACAUUUGUUAGGCCACCCUUUUAAUUUGGCAGAGUGAUAUUUGUUUCAUCUUUCAUAUGGUUUCUAUCUUGCAUUACUUCUAACCAGUUCAAACACCUUGUGCUUAGUUUACACUUUAUACAUCAUACAUGUCAAUAUGUCAUGCCGUCCUGUUUUUCAUACAUAUUCCAUCCUCCUAUCAUGCGGCUGCCUUACAUAAAAAUAGCGUUCGUUAGUAUUAUGCAUCAAUGAGUUCUGAAGAGCAAAUUUUAUUCCCUUUUUCUUGUGGCUUUGACUUGACAAGGCAAAAUCAAAAAAGAGGAAGGAAAAGAGUAAGGAAGGUGAUGAUGGUGGUCCUGUGCAGCAAUAUAAACGAAGCAUCUGUACGGAUUCUCCUUGUAGUGCUAGUGCAUUACAAGUUCCAAGUCUCUGCUCCCCUACUCCACCAUCCAAGGUGCUUGCUCUAACUUGGCAGUGUGAUAUUUGAUUGCAUGUUGCAUAUGUUGUCUAGCUUGUAUUGCUCCUAAUUAGUGUAAACUGCAUCUGCUUAGCUUACACAUGAUACAUGUGAAUAUGACAUGCUUUCCUAUUCUUGGUACAUACUAUAUCUUUCUACCACAUCAUGUUCUUACAUGAAACUACUCUUCUUGUGUAUCUUGCAUCAGUCACAUAUGAUGGGACACUUUUAAGUUGGCAGUAUGAUAUUGGUUUGCGUCUUGAAUAUGAUUUAUAGCAUGUAGUGCUUCUAGUUUGAUGAACGCCACCUAUGACGAGGCAGUUUGAACUUGAUAGAGUGAUAUUGAUUGCACCUUCCAUAUGGUGUCUAGCUUGUAGUGCUUCUAAUUUGUUGCAGUGCCUUCUGCUUAGUUACCACACAAUAGGUGUGAAUAUGUCAAGCCAUCCAGUUUUUCGUACAUAGUCCAUCCUCGUAUCAUGACUAUGCCUUUCAUCAGAGUAGUGUUCGUCAGUAUCAUGCAUGAAUGAGUUGUGAAGAGCGAAUUUUAUUCCUUUUUCUUGUCGGUUUAACCUCAGAAUGCAAAAUUAAUAAAACGGAAGGAAAUUUGUAAGGCAUUGGAUGAUGGUGGUCCUUCCGCGCAACUGAAAUGGAGGGUCUCUACAGAUUCUACUCCGCCAUCCUCCCAACAAGAUUCGCAAUACAACGCAAGGCUAGAUAGUCAACAUAGCUGUGUAGAUGAUGAACACAUCUCCCCUACUCCACCAUCACAGGUGCUUGCUCUAACUUGGCACUAUUAUAUGUGGUUGCAUGUUGCGUAUGAUGUCUAGCUUGCAUUGCUUCUAACUUUGUUGAAUUGCAUCUGCUUACUUUACACAUAAUGCCUGUGAAUAUGACACGUGUUCCUGUUUCUUGAACAUACUAUAUCUGACCACACCAUGUUCUUACAUCAUACUAGUGUUCUUGCAUAUCCCAUAUCAGUCACUUAUGAUAAGGCACCUUUAAGUCGCCACUGUGAUAUUGGUUAUGUCUUGCAUAUGAUUUCUAGCAUGUACUGCUUCUAAUUUAUUGAAACGCCAGACAGUUUGAACUUGGCAGAGUGAUAUUGGUUGCACCUUUCAUAUGGUGUCUAGCUUGCGGUGCUUCUAAUUUAUUGAAAUGCCUUCUGCUUAGUUACCACAUCAUAGGUGUGAAUAUGUCACGUCGUCCUAUUUUUCGUACAUAUUCCAUCCUCGUAUCAUGUGUUUUCCUUUCAUCCAAGUAGUGUCGGAUUCCGGGUUCUGGCAAACCCUUGAGGUUUGAACUCUGGGGUGCGCACGAAGAUCUCUCUUUCCCUAGCUCACACUCGCAAGAAUCUCUAGGCCUAGCUCACCGAACCCAAGGAACAAGUGACAUGAGAGUUUAUACUGGUUCGGGCCACCGUUGUGGUGUAAUACCCUACUCCAGUGUGUGUGGUGGAUUGCCUCGUGGGCUGAGGAUGAACUAGUACAAUGGAUGAACGGACUCCUGAGGAGAGGUGUUCUUGAGCUCGAUGAGCUAGUGUGUCUAAGGAUGGUCUGAAUGAUCUGUCCCUCGAUGAGCUGAUCUUGACUACGGUGGUGGCUAGCCCUAUUUAUAGAGGCCCGGGUCCUCUUCCUAAAUAUAUAGGAGGGAAGGGAUCCCACAACGGCCAAUUUUGAAGGGAGACAACCAGUACAAGUUAUCCUGACAAAAGGUGGUCUUCGCCUGCCAAAGGCUCUGCUGGUGAUGCCGCCACGGGCUCUGCUGUGACCUUCGUCCUGCCGUCCUGCUGGUCUUUGUCUUGUUGCACCAAUAUGGCAACAUUUGCCUGAUGCCUCGGGACUCCUCGCCUGCGCCUGCCAAUUUAGCACCAAAGAGGAAACUGGCACCCUGCGCCUGCUGGCGCCCGCCUGGCCUUGGUCGUUAUGACUCACGUCACGCGGACCUCCCAAGGUGCCCCUUGCAUAGAUAUCUCCGCUCCUCGGGAGCCAGCUUAGCGAGGCCGCCCCGGAAGAGGUCUUGGUGUUGUCCGCCUCGCGAGGCUUGGACCCUCAUGAGGGUCUUGAUUGGUUGCUGGUGAAGAUGGGCCGUACCAGGCCGUUGGUGGAGCCACGCCCUGGGCUGCUGGCAGGAAAGUCUGGGUACCACCGUUCCCAGGACGCCGACAGUAGCCCCCGAGCCCAAGGCGCGCUCGGACUUGGCUUCGAGACGAAGCCAAAGGGAAAGUGCAUAGCACCGCAGGCCCCAACCGCCUGUGGCCCCGAUUGACACAUGGUGUUUGAUAGGUCGUGGGAGUCUCCGCUUCCCCAUGCUGGCUCGACAACUGCCCGACUUGACGAGACCCUGCUGCAUGCAGAAGAAAACCGUCAUUACCUUAGAUCGUGGAGGCCGGCGGUUGGCCUCCCUCUGGCUAUAAAUGAGGAGUGCCAUGGUCCCCCGACCUCCCCGUCCGCGCUUCCACUCGGCAGAGGUGCUGCCAGAAUUCGUCGCGUGGUCGGACAACCUGGCUGGCACAUGGCUUCAGCUUCCGUGGUCCUUUGCCGGCGAGCUGCCGGCCACGGGUCCUGGCGGCCUCUGGCUGCAGGCCGACGACUGCUGCAGCAAGGCUUCAUUGGUCGCGGUGGAGGUCUCCAUCAGGGGCAACAUAGCCCUAGCCCGCGGCUGGCAGACGUUUUCCCGUGCUCGCGGCCUGGGUAGGCGAUGCACCCUCCACUUCAAGUAAGACGGAGCCGCGACCCUCUUUGUGAUGGUGUUCGGGGAAGAUGGUCGCCGCGUCGGGUGCUGCCCUAAAGACAGCGAGGGUGACGGAGUGCUCGGCCUUGGCGAUGGCCGUGACGAGGACAAGGGCGGCCUCGCCCCCGACGACGGCCGUUGCUCGUCUGGCAACGACAACUCCUCCUCCAGUAAAAGCUCCAACAGUGGCGGCUAUGACUCGUCUCCCCAUCACCGGGCUCGCUUCGAGGACGGUGGAGGGUCGUCCUGUCGCCGCGCCCCAGUGAAGCGCGAGGAGGGCUCCAGCUGAGUCCAAGGGGGAGGGGUGAUCCUGGUGAGCAUCCGCGUCAUAGGAGCCGCUUUUGACAGUCUUUUCCUUUCCUCGUGCAUAUCAAGAAACAAGUAUGGGGCCCCGCGAGGGCGUGUAAUGAACCGCAGUGCUUAUGCUGCUUUGUGCUAUGUUUAUUGUUCAUGUGUUGUGUUAUGACGUUCGUGCUUCAUGUAGAGACAGAGGGGUAACUUAGCUGGAUGCGCCCAGGGUAGCUUCCUCUCUCGUGUGGGCGUGCCCUUUGGCACCUGGUGAGCCCUCCUUAUUGCUGGAUUGGGAGCCCUUGUCCUCGGGAGGCGUCAUAGGGCUGCAGAAAUUGUUAAGACGUUCGUCAGGUGCCUUGUCCUUCCUUGCGCGAGGCCUCAUGAUCAUGGCCCAGCGCACCAUGUCGCGGUACCCGUGGGGCACGAACUUAGGGGGGUGCGCCAACUGCGAGCUUAAUCGAGGGUGCCUCGCGAAGGUCAGGGGAGCCGAAGCUAUGGAGCGACAGGGCUUUGGCAAGGCGUGUCCGUGGCUUAGGUUAGCCCAGCGCAUGCACACACCUGCCCAGCCCCUGCAUGAGGCACGCGAGGGAGAGCGUCGGGCAACUGCCGCCCUCCCUGGUGCAAAACAAAGAACCGAGUGAGGAAGAAGAGAAAAGAAAGGGUUCAACCGAGCAAUAGAGAAACGCCAGAACUCCAAAUUCCAUAAAAAAGGGGGUGCAAACCAACUACAAAAAGCAAAUGAACAGCCGCGUAUGGCACCUAGUCUAGUCUUCUCACCAGCGCAGAGCUAAGUGCUGCCACUAGGACAUGGGAGGGAGCCCCCGAGGCCCGAGGGUGGCACUCCGAAGACUCCGGGGCAUGUACAGCCCCACUCAUUAUUACGUGCGAGUGUCACGAGCGGAGACCUUCACAUGCACUAGGCCUUGCUUCACGGGUAGAACUUCCGGAGGUGCUGGAUGUUCCAGGCAUUCUGGAUGGGGGUCCCGUCCUGCGUCUCCAGGCGUGCGGCACCAGGCCUGGAGAGGCGGGCAAUCCUAAAUGGGCCCUCCCACAUGGGCGACAUCUUAUGUAUCCCUUUCCUGGAGAGCACCCGCCUCGGGACAAGAUCGCCCACCUUAAGCAUCCUGGAUCAGACGUUGCAGCAGUGAUACUGCCACAUCGCCUGCUAGUACCUUGCCGCUGGUAGCGAGGCUUGGCAGUGGCGUUCCUCCCCCAGCACAAGGUCCAUCCCCCACAUGGUGUCCUGAUGCGUCUCAUCAAACGCCAGGACCUGCGCGGAGCGAUGCCUGACCUCGUGAGGGAGAACCGCUUCUGCUCCGUAGAUUAGGAAGAACGGGGUCUCACCCGUUGGCUUGGUGGCGGUGGUGCCGAUGGACCAUAGGACAGACUGGAGCUCGUCGUGCUAGCCCCUGCCACAGGCUUCGAGCUUCUUCUUGAAGGUCCUAGUCUUGAGGCCUCUCAAGACCUCCGCGUUGGCGCGGUCGGCUUGGCCAUUUCUCCUGGGGUGUGCUACUGAAGCGUAGCAAAUCUGCGUUCCAAGGUUAGCACAAUAUGUCUUGAAGAGAUUGCUAGUGAACUGCGAGCCGUUAUCGGUGAUGAUGCAGUUAGGGACCCCAAACCGGCUCACGAGGCCCUUGAUGAACUUAACUGCCGACCCAGCUGGGAUGGUGCGUAUGGCUUCCACCUCUGCCCACUUGGUGAACUUGUCGAUGGCAACGUAGAGUUAGCGGUAGCCCCUAGACGCUCGACGGAACGGACCCAGGAUAUCCAGCCCCUAGACCACGAACGACCACAUGAGAGGGAUAGUCUAGAGGCCCUGGGCCAACUGGUGGAUUUGCUGGGCAUGGAACUGGCAGGCCUCGCAGCCCCUUACUAGCUCAGCUGCAUCCUUGAGUGUCGUGGGCCAAUAGAACCCGCUGCAGAAGGCCUUGCCAACUAGGGUGUGCGACGACGAGUGAUGCCAGUAGUCCCCGACGUGUAUGUCAGCUAGCAGUUCGCUCCUGUGCUUCCUAGAGAUGCAUCGUGAAGAAAGAUCGUUUGGUCGUUUUGUGUACAGCUCACUGUCCUGAAUGCAGUACGUCGUAGCUUGCUGGGUCACACGGUCCGCAUCCUCCUCUUUCUCCGGCAGUGUCUCCCGCAGCAGGUAUGCCUUGAAUUGUUCAGUCCAGCACCCCUCCUAAGUCUCAAGCGCAAGGAGCGGGCGUGCUCCUGAGGUCGGGCCGCAGGCGGGAGCUCCUGAGGUUGGUGGUGGGGGAGCUCCUCCUGAGGCGGCAUAGGCUCCGCAGCCGGAGGGGCUGCUGAAGGCUUAAAGAGCCGCUCCCCGAAGACGCCAUGCUCCAGGGGCUGUCUCCUUGAUGCCCUCUUGGAGAUAUCAUCCGCAUCCUUGUUUGUGCCCCGAGGCACAUGCUGUAGUUCUAGGCCCAAGAAUUGCUUCUCCAUUUUGCGUACCUCCGUGAGGUAUGCCUCCAUGUGCUCGUCCCGAGGCUCGUAUACUUUGUUGGAAAAGUUGACGAGGAGCUAAGAGUCGCCCUUGAUGGUGAGGCGCUUCACCCCCAAGGCCGCCGCAGCCUUGAGGCCGGCGAUCAAACCUUCAUACUCUGCGAUGUUGUUGGAGACCUUCUCGCCCCGCUGGAAGCAGAGUUGCACGGCGUAGUAGAGUUUGUCCUAGGUGGGCAAUAUGAGCACGGCUCCAGCCCCCGUGCCCUGGCGUGUGAAAGCGCCGUCGAAGUACAUGACCAAGUCGUCUGGCGCUUCACUUCCUGGCGAGAGGGAUCGGUUCUCGCCUGCUUCAGGUUCCAGAGUGUCGGUCCAUUCUGCCACGAAGUCGGCGAGGGGCAGCGCCCUGGAUAACCUUGGUUGUGCUGAACUCCAGCUGAAACGCCUGCAGCUCUAUGUUCCAUUCGACAACUCUUCCCGCUGCGUUGGGGCUCUGGAGCACCCUCUCCAAUGGGUAGGCUGAGAUGACCUUAAUUGGGUGGCCUUGUAAAUAAUGACGCAGCUUGCGUGAGGCCACCAGGAGCAUGAGCAGGAGCUUCUGCGCAUGGGGUGUCGCGCCAUUGCGUCCCGUAGUACCGUGCUGGCGAAGUAGACCGAGUGCUCGACGAGGGCGAGAGCGUCGGUGGAGCCUCGUGGCCUCUGGGGGUUGUGGUGCCUCCUGAGGUAGGGUGACCAUAGGAGCUUGGUUGUCCACCAUGGCCUCUGCAGGCCCAGACACGCCGUCUUGUGGGGUCUGAUCGUCCGCGGAUGUCGUCGUGGCUUUAGUGGUGCCGUCCUGGAACCACUUCAUCUCGGUUGGAGGUACGACAUUACAUGGCGCAUCCUUGGCCUGUCGCUCCUCCUGGGCAGCCACCAACACCAUGGUGGCUGAGUGGGGCGUGACGGCCAGGUAGAGCACUAGGGGCUCGAGGGGUCGAGGCGCGACCAUCACCGGACGGCUGGUCAAAUAUCUCUUGAGGUCUGGAAACGCCAGGUCGACCUCUGGGGUCCACUCGAAUGGGCCCUUCUUCUUCAUCAGCUUGAAGAACGGCAGGGCGCGUUCUCCCAGCUUGGAGAUGAAGCGCCCCAACGAGGUCACAUAACCCACGAGCUUCUUCAUUUCCUCGCGAGUUUGGGGCGGGCUCAUGUCUUCUAUCACCUUGACGUUCUCCGGAUUUUCCUUGAUCCCCCUAUGCGAUAUGAGGAAACCCAGUAGCUUGCCCAAAGGGACGCCGAACACGCACUUCUCUGGAUUGAGCCAUAGAUCCACCUGUCACAGGCUGGCGAAAGUCUCCUCUAAGUCUUGUAUGAGGGUCCUCGCCUCCCAAGAUUUUACCAUAAUGUCGUCGACGUAGGCCUCAGCGUUCCUCCUGAGCUGCUGGCCCAGGGAAAUGUGCAUCAACUGCUGGAAGGUGGCCCCAGCGUUGCGCAGCCCGAACGACAUGCAGGUGUAGCAGUAUACCCUGCACGGGGUCAGGAAGGCCAUCUUCUCCAUGUCCUCUAGUGCCAUCUUGAUCUAUUGAUAACCCGAGAAGGCAUCUAGAAAACAUAGCAGGUCGCAUUCGGCGGUGGAGUCGACGAUCUGGUUGAUGCGCGGAAGUGGGAACGGGUCUUGAGGGCAGGCUUUGUGUGAGGUUGGUGAAGUUGACGCACAUACAUUCCUUCCCACCUUUCUUGGGCACAAUGAUGGGGUUCGCCAGCCACUCUGGGUACCGGACCUUGCGGAUGACACCCGCAGCUUGUAGCUUGCGGGUUUCCUAGAUGAUGAAGGACUGCUUCUCCGUGGACUGUCGUCGCGCCUUCUACUUCACAGGAUGCACAUUGGGGCACACCCUUAAGUGAUGCUCGAUUACUCCCCUUGGGACCCCCACCACCUGCUUGGGCUCCUAGGCGAAUACCUCCUUGUUCGCACGCAGGAAUAUCACUAGUGCCUCUUCUUGGACGGGAUCGAGGUUGGCGCCUAUGGUGAAAGUGGCUCCCGAGGCUCCAUCUUCCUCGAAUGGCACUUGCUUGGUUUCAGCCCGAUCUUGAGUGAACAACUGCUUCUUUUUUGCUGGCGCGGCCCCCUCAGCCCCCGGGGCGGCUUCAUCGGCUGGGCGUGCCGCCGCGACGGCCCUGAAGGCGAGCUUGAGAGUCGUCGAGGCUUCCUUGGUGUCCCCAGUCAUGAUGAGAACGUUGCUGCUCCCUGGCAUCUUCAUGAGGUUGUAGGCUGGAUGGGUUGCUUCCAGGAACUGAGCCAGGGCAGGGUACCUGAGGAUGACAUUGUACGGGAGGCCGAUGUGGACAAUGUCGAUGUCGAUCAGCUCGGUGCGGUAGUAGUGGCGGGUACCAAAGGUGACCGGGAGGCGUAUAUGCCCCAGAGGGCUGGUGGAGCCGAUGCCGACUCCAGAGAAAGGCUUGGUGGGGCGGAGCCGGCCGUAUGGUACGUGACGCAAGCCGAAAUCUUCCACGGAUAGCAUGUUGAGGCCGGCUCCUCCAUCGAUGAGGGUCUUGGUCACAGCCACGUUGCAGAUGGUGGGUGUGCAGAGCAUUGGGAGUGCACCUGAGCCCGUGGUGAUUGCUGGGUGGUCCUCCAAGAUGAAGGUGAGGUCGGCCUGGGGGGCCUCCCAACCUGGGGGAGCCCCCUGCUGCACGCGGGCAGCGCCCAGCUGGCAGUUAAACUGCUUGACAUGGUGAUCCAUGGGUGGUGCCCGCGAUCCACCAAGGAGGGCUGCUACGGCAUGGGGCGCCUGUACCGUGAAGCGCGCGAUGAAGAGAUCGCGCAGCUCCUCCCAGGAGGCUACCGAUGAUCCUGGCAGACUGAGAAGCCAGGCGCGCGGUAUGCCAGUCAAGGCCAGGGGGAACCAGUUGGCCAUGACCUGACUGUCGCCUCCGGCUUCGAGAACGACCUCCUCGUACGCCUGUAGGAAGGCCGCUGGAUCUGCCGCGCCGUCGUAGCGGGGCGGCAUCUCUGGCUUGAACUUGCAUGGCCACUGCACCUAUCGUAAAGCGAGGGUGCAUCUGCAGGGGCCCGCCGGCCUAAUUGUAGGAGCGGCGCCUACCAUGGGAGCGGGAUGAAUCAAGCGGAGAGGCGAAGCUUCGGCGCACCCCUACCUGGCGCGCCAAAUGUCGGAUUCCGGGUUCUGGCAAACCCUUGAGGUUCGAAAUCUGGGGUGCGCACGAAGAUCUCUCUCUCUCUCCCUAGCUCACACUUGCAACGAUCUCUAGGCCUAGCUCGCCGAACCCAAGGAACAAGUGACACGAGAGUUUAUACUGGUUCGGGCCACUGUUGUGGUGUAAUACCCUACUCCAGUGUGUGUGGUGGAUUGCCUCAUGGGCUGAGGAUGAACUAGUACAAUUGAUGAACAGCCUCCUGAGGAGAGGUGUUCUUGAGCUCAAUGACCUGGUGUGUCUGAGGAUGGUCUGAAUGAUCCGUCCCUCGAUGAGCCGAUCCUGACUACAGUGGUGGCUAGACCUAUUUAUAGAGUCCUAGGUCCUCUUCCCAAAUGUUUAGGCAGGAAUGGAUCCCACAACGGCCAAUUUUGAAGGGAGACAACUAUUACAAGUUAUGACUGGUCUUCGCCUGCCAAAGGCUCUGGUGGUGACGCCGCCGCGGGCUACGCGGUGACCUCUGUCCUGCCGUCCUACUGGUCUUGAUCUUGCUGCACCGAUAUGGAAACCUUUGCUUGAUGCCUCGGGACUCCUCGCCUGCGCCUGCCCCAUUAGCACCAAAGAUGAAACUGGCACCCUAUGCCUAAUGGCGCCCGCCUGGCCUUGGUUGUCAUGGCUCACGUCACAUGGACCUCGCGUGGUGCCCCUUGCAUAGAUAUCUCCGCUCCUCGGGAGCCAGCCUAGCGAGGCCGCCCCAGAAGAGGUCUUGGUGUCGUCCUCCUCGCGAGGCUUGGCCCCUCGCGAGGGUCUUGAGUGGUUGAUGGUGAAGAUGGGCCGUACAAGGCCGUUGGUGGAGCCACGCCUGGGCCGCAGGCAGGCAAAUCUGGGUACCCCCAUUCGGAGGACGCCGACAAGUAGUGUUUGUCAGUAUCAUCCAUGAAUGAGUUCUCAAGAGCGAAUUUUAUUCCUUUUUCUUGUCAAUUUGACUUCACAAUGCAAAAUCAAUACAGCUAAAGGAAAUUAGUCCGGCAAUGGAUGAUGGUAGUCCUUCAGAGCAACUCUAACAGAGGGUCUCUACAGGUUCUACUCCGCCAUCCUCCCAACAAGAUUCCCAAGACAACACAAGGCUGCACAGUCAACGUAGCUGUGUAGAUGAUGAGCACAUCUCCCCUACUCCACCAUCACAGGUGCUUGCUCUAACUUGGCACUAUUAUAUGUGGUUGCAUGUUGCGUAUGAUGUCUAGCUUGUAUUGCUUCUAACUUUGUUGAAUUGCAUAUGCUUACUGUCGGUGUCAAAACCGGCGGAUCUCGGGUAGGGGGUCCCGUUCUAUGCGUCUAAGGCGGAUGGUAACAGGAGGCAGGGGACACGAUGUUUACCCGGGUUCGCCUCUUGAUGGAGGUAAUACCCUACGUCCUGCUUGAUUGUUCUUGAUGAUAUGAGUAUUACAAGAGUUGAUCUACCAAGAGAUCAGAGAGGCUAAACCCUAGAAGCUAGCCUAUGGUAUGAUUGUAUGUUGUCCUACGGACUAAAACCCUCCAGUUUAUGUAGACACCGGAGGGGGCUAGGGUUACACAAGGUCGGUUACAAAGGAGGAGAUAUACAUAUCUGUAUUGCCUAGCUUGCCUUCCAGGCCAAGUAGAGUCCCAUCCGGACACGGGACGAAGUCUUCAAUCUUGUAUCUCCAUAGUCCAACAGUCUGGCCAAAGGAUAUAGUCCGGCUGUCCGAAGACCCCCUAAUCCAGGACUCCCUCAGUAGCCCCUGAACCAGGCUUCAAUUACGAUGAGUCUGGCGCGUAGUGUUGUCUUCGACAUUGCAAGGCGGGUUCCUCCUCCAAAUACACUACGGAAGAGUUUGAAUACAAGGAUAGUGUCUGACCCUGUAAAAUAAGCUCCACAUACCACCGUAGAGAGAAUAAUAUUUCCACAAAUCUAAUCCGCUGACAUGUUUUGGCAGCAUGACAUCACGCCACGGCCCGGUCAUUAUUUGAACGAUAACGCGAGGCGGUUUCCUUAACAUGUCUUGUCAAAGCAGAGAUCGUGUUCCCCUUAUCACGAGAUUCUCAUUAAUACGAACGUGAGUAACCCAACCAUACCUGUUGGUAUGACUCCUAGAUCUUAGGUAAGUCUCAAACGGCCACGAGGAGGACGCCUGAUAUUCACCCUCUUUAUAAAGGGGACAAGGUUUUUUCUUUUUUCCCUCUCGCGCUCAAUUGAAUCCUUCCCCCGCCUCGAGUUCUAACACCAAAAGCUCAGGUCAGGUGCUUCGGACCUUCAAUCAUGUCCGGAUCCAGCCUUCAAGGCCGGUGGAUGCCUUCCUCUGUCACAGAGGAGGACAUCAAGAAGUUGAGGGAGGCCAGAUAUCUGACCGCCGAAAUUUCGCAUAGGCUGCCGGCCCGAGGGCAGGUCGUCCCUACUUCCGAACCCAACGAGAGCGUUGUGUUUGUCUCCCACUUCCUCCGAGGACUAGGGCUCGCUCUGGAUCCCUUCGUUGGGGGUCUUAUGUUCUAACGGGCUGGAUUUUCAUGAUCUAGCCCCGGAUUCCCUUCUUCACAUCUCGUCAUUUAUUGUCGUAUGUGAGGCCUUCCUCCGCAUUACCCCUCACUUCGGCCUAUGGCUCAAGACCUUCGAUGUGAAGCCGAAGACGGUCGAAGGGCAGUACGCAGUGUGCGGAGGUGCUUUAAUAAGCAAAAUUGCUGACGCUCCAUGGCCAAAGGGUUCCUUUCCAAAGGUGUCCAGAUUGUGGCAGCGGGAGUGGUUUUACGUCACAGCUCCCCAAAGCGCCAAAUGGGUAGCUGCCCCCACUUUUCGCUUGGGCCCCCCACCACAACUGAUGUCAUGGAUCAGCAGGGGGCUGAGUUGGGGUCCAGCCAAGGACGUGCCAAUGCUGCAGAGCCAUAUCUGAGAUCUCUUCGAGGGAGAUUUCAGUCUGGUUAUGGUAAUGCAAGUUAUGCUGGUUCGUCAAGUCCAGCCUUGCAAACGCCGGCCCCUCCGCAUGUGGGAAUUCAACUCGGAAGGACCGCGCACUACUUAGCAUUUUCUCAGCAUGACGCACGAGGAGAUGUACAAAUCGUUCUUCGGACCCCAAAUAGAGUGUCCGGACACCAUCGAGGACGUGGGCCUGAGCUGCAACCGCCCCGCUGCCCAAGUAAGUAAUCCUAUGGCCGAACACACUGUCCUUUUAUUUAUCAUGACAUCAUUCUGAAGAAUUGCUUUUUGACCAGGACUGGAUAACAAAGGCGAAGAUGAUCCGGUGUUCGGCCCCCCUUCCUGAGGGUUUGGACAAUCCGGUGCUGGAAAAGAUGCUCGAGCCAGCACCUUGCCUAGUGCCCUCAAAGGAAGAUGAAGGGGGAAUAAAGAGGGCGAAGGUGGGCCUCCUUCGCUACCUAUUCCAACCGAGGGAAUGAGCGCCUCCGCGAGGGAGGAUAACCAAGGGGAAGAAUCUGACAUUCUCUUUCCCCGGGGAAGGAAGAGGGCUACCUCUGAAGAUCCGGAAACUAAGGUUUCCAAACGGGAGAAGAAAUCUCAGCCAGAGGGUCCUGCCUCAGAUUGUAUUCUUGCCGCACAAUGUCCGCGCGGGGAUCAGCCCUCAACCGAGUUGUAAGUAAUUAAAAAGUACUUAAUAGUGAAUAUAUCCUUGUCACACCCUAGCUAGUUCAUGCAUUAGAGUGAUUGCAUCAUGUUUAAAUUUCCCAGAAAAAUGAAAUGGGGAUGAUAUAACCCCAGCACCCCCCUUGGAAUAACUUGGGUUUACUAAAAACUUUUUCAAUGAACCUGAAAUGCCCUUCUAAAAAGUCCACCCUUUUUGUUUUGGGUGAAAACCUUUGACAAAAAUGGUGCACACUUUUCUAGGAAAUCUUAAGGUCAUUGGAUUAAAUCAUUACGAUUUGAAUUUGGGAAAUUUAAAUCCUAUAAAUAUUUUAAAAUGCCCAAAUAACCCUGAAAGUAUUUUUAGGCUGUUGAGAAUAUUUUCAAAUGUGCCUCUGAAUAUUUCCAGGUUUUUCCUAAAUGAAAUAGUAUUUUUACUAUUUCAAAACACAGAAUAGGAAGAAAUAAAAAGAAAACAAAAAGCAGAAAGAGUAGAGGCUUACCUGACGCCCACCUAGCAGGCCCACCUGCCGGCCCAGCCCAGCCACCACUCCAGCGAGCUACUUGGCUUGGCCAGGUAGGCAGGCAGGUGCUCGGCGCCUGCACCCGCGCGCGCCACGCAGCUAGCUGCCGCCCCGCUUCCUCCCCUUGCAGCGCUACUGCCCUGGUUCGAUCACACACACCUCUCCCGAGCUCGCAGACACGCCUCUCUCUCCCCAGCUCCUCUCCCUCGCUCUCCCGCACAAUGGCCGACGCUGCCGCGCCCGCGCCACCGUGCUAACCGCGUCCGCCGUCGUCCCCAUGUCGCGUCACCGUGUCCACUAGCUCCGCCAUCGUCGACUACGUCGAGCAGGCCGAGCCCCGAGCGCUCUCCCGCUCUGGAGUCGCCGCUGACCCCGUCUCCCCCAACUCCAGCCGCCGAGAUCGCCAUCGUCACCCCGCUCAGCUCCGGCCUUCCCCGAGCCCGCUUCGACGCUUGCUGCAAUCGCCGUGAGCCCAGCUCCAUCCUCCCCCUCUCCAUUAACUCCCUCCUGCACCGUGUGCAACGCACCACGCUCACCCGAGCACCCACCGCCGCCGAGCUUGUCGCCGGCGUGACUCCGGCCACCCACCGGCCACACCUUUGCGACCAACGCACUCACCGCACCCGCAGGAGCCCGUAGCACCACUCCACGCGCCUCGCCGUGCCCCAUAGCCUCGGUUUUCGACCUCGCCCAAACUCCGGCGACCGCCAAGGUCGUCGCCGGUGACGUUUCCGCCCACCCUAGCUCCACCCACUGCCACCACUCGAUGCGGCUUGCUCCCAGCUACGCGUAGAGCCUCUCCGCCGCGCAAAUGGUCGCUUGUGGGCGUUUUCCGAAGCCCUCCGCCGCAUCUGACGUCGCAGGCGUCAAACCACCGGCGAGUUGACCUCGUUUGACCUGGGGUUUAACUCCCCUGGGUCAAUGACAGGUGGGCCCAGAGCCCUGCUAAUUUUAAUUUAGCACUAAUUAACUUUUAUUUAACCCAAUAGGUCACUAACAGAUGGGGCCCACCAGUCAGGUUUGACCUGGGCUGGCGCCUUUGACUCGCUGACGUCACAGUGAUGCAGUGCUGACGCAGUUAAUUAUUUCUGGAUUUAUUCUUAUAUAGGAAAUUCCAGAAAAUAGCCAAAACUUCUAAAAAUCAUAAAAAAUCAACCAUGGCUCCAAAUCAAACAAAUUAUAUAUGAAAAAUGAUCAGAAAAAUUCAAUCUUUCCAUAUGUAAUGGUUUCAUGCAUGACAAAACACUUUAACCUUGCUGUUUAGGUGAAACAAGCUAAUACACUUAUAAUACAUAAGAACUUAAGCUUCCAUUUGAAUCUUUGAUUCAAAUGGACCCAUUUCAACUUGUUUCCCAUUGCAUUAGGCAGGACACCUCAUUUUGCCAUGUCAUAGCAUGCAUCAUAUUGUUGCAUAUUGCCAUGUGUUGAUUAUUUUCUGUGGUGUCUUUCGUGGUAGGUUCUGCCUCCGAGGAUAUCUCCGAGUAUCCAACUGAAGGGCAGUACCCUACUACUACUCCAUCAGGCAAGCAACCCCAUUGAUCAUAUCGAUACAAACCCUUGUUCUCGCUUCUGCUCUCACUUACUGCAUUAAGACAACAACGUUUCAAACUGCUGUGUGCUGCGGUAGUUGAACCCUUAUCCUCUGCAUGACCUGUCAUUGCCACAGUAACUAGAUGAAACCCACUAGCAUGUGUAGGAGUUGAUUGAGCCAUGUAUGUGUUUGCUACCUUGCUAUGCCUGCUAUGCUUAGAGUUGUGUCAGGUCUGGUUCAUUUGGGCGAUGGGCUAGAGUGAAAUGAUUAUGUCGGUAAUGUGAGAGAUGUGUUGAACAUGAUUUGGUAAAGGUAUCGAUGAGAGGCCAUGUAGGAGUACAUGGUGGGUUGUUUCAUUGAGGCCGUCCCUAAGAACUGAGAUCUGUAUGUGUGAUUUAAGAAUCAGCUACUACCAUACAUUGGGCCCGAAACCAAUGGACCCUCUCGGCUUCUUAAUCACCCUAGUACUCUGUCCAGGAGUUGCAACUAGUUUUUGGUGUUUGUAGGUUAUGUGUUGGCGGCCGUGCGUAGCGCUGACCAUAGCGGUGGGCUAUGAUGCGGUAGAUACACCGUGGCCGGGUAUGCCGGGCGCCCGUUUGGCGUCUCGGGACCCUGUUCACAUCGUUCGGGGCCGUAUGUGGAAACCUCGGCCGGACUCCCUACGGAUGGAACCUGGAUAGGCGAUAAACCUGGAGUAGAGACUUGAGUGUUUAGGUAGGCCAUGGUCGACACCCUCGUUGGGCUUCCGCUUGAAGGUUGCCGAGUACAUGUCGUGUAAACGACGAUAAGUGGUGAGAGCGUGUAUGAAGAAGUACACCCCUGUAGGGUUAACAUCAUCUAUUCUCUUAGCCGCAUCCGCAGUAAAGGACUACUUGGUUGCCUAUACAGUUCAUAGACAAGUUAAUGGUUACUACUAAAAGACUCAAGAUAAGUGUGAGUACCGAGGAUGGCCCUCUCGUAGGAUGACGAGGGAGGAUCCCCGGUGGAGUAUUGUGUUGGUGAUUAGUGGACUCAUGUGAGAAAACAUUUUACUAGUGGUGUCUCGUAGGAUAGCUUAGCCAAGAGUCAAAGUUGGCUUGCUGCAAUAACUCCACCACCUUCUUGAGAAUGAGCAUGUAUAGUAGGUUCUGUUGUAAGACUUGCUGAGUACCUUUGUACUCAUGUUGCUUUAAUUACUGUUUUUAGACGACAACACUGCCCCCUCCGAUGGGUUUUAUGUAGACCUCGACGUCGAUGAGUAACUUGCCACCCAGGUGGUGAUCCUGGCCAUGGAGGGCCUAUGUAGAUAGACAGGCUUUGACAAGCCUCCUUUCUUUCUAGUGUCUGUACUCAGACUAUUUGCUUCCGCAUGUGCUUGUAUGCUUGUAUGACUUGAGUGUCCGGUCAUGUGACCCCUACCUGUAUGAACAAGUUAUGUAUGGCUCUCUGGAGCCUUUAAAUAAAGUACUUGAGUUGUAGAGUUUUGUUGUGAUGCCAUGUUGUAUUUGCACAUAUCGAGCAUAUUGUGUGUAUGAUUGAAAUGCUUGGUAUGUGUGGGAUCCGACAAUCUAGUUGUUUAUCCUUGGCAGCCUCUCUUAUGGGGAAAUGUAGUCUAGUGCUCCUCGAGCCAUAGUAGUCCGCUACAUCCUGGUUCACCGGAGUCCUGCUAGCCCAGCAGUACUGCUCAGGACACUUGACUGGCCGGCAUGUGUUUCACUUCGUUCCUAUGUCUGUCCCUUCGGGGAAAUGUCACGCGGUGACAUCCGGAGUCCUGCCUAGCCUGCUACAGCCCGGGUUCCCCGGAGUUUUGUUAGCCCAGUGCUACAGCCUGGAUUCACACGUUGUUGACCGACAUGCUCGAUGUGAUUCAUGUAUGCCUGUCUCCAUAGGUCUGUGCCGCUUUGGGUUCUCGACUAGCCAUGUCGGCCCGGGUUCUCUAUCAUAUGGAUGCUAGCGACACUAUCAUAUACGUGAGCCAAAAGGCACAAACGGUCCCGGGCCAUGGUAAGGCGACACCCGUGGGGAUACCGUGCGUGAGGCCAUAAUGUGAUAUGAGGUGUUACCGGCUAGAUCGAUGUGACUUGGAAUUGGGGUCCUACAGUGUUGGCAUCAGAGCCAGACUGCCUGUAGGUUCGUUGAGCCAAACUGGUCGAUGUCGAGUCUAGAAAUGCUUUAGUUAUAUGCAGGGGAAUUGAUUGUGGGAGGGAACGUAAGGCUCUUUUUACUCCUUUACCUUAUACCCUCUGAUCUGAGUCAUUCUCUUCUCAUUCAACGUGGGUUAAGGACUAGGCUCUCUUCUUCUAUCAGGUUCACGUUUUACUAAUCCGUAGUAGCUUAUAGGAUUGUUGUUACCAGCCUCAGUACAGUUUCUACUACUUUUAGUAUGUUGUUAGUUGAAUCAGAACCUUGAUAUGAUGUUGUUGAGUGGUAUUGCAAACUAUUGUGGAUGUCUCAAAUCUUUUUCUGAUCAUUUACAGCUUUUAUGUUGUCCGAUUUUCCCUAGAAAAUUCUAAUGCCUUUGCAUUAUUCUGUGCUUUCAGAUGGCCACCCGUUCCCAGAACCAAGUGGUUCGUCUAACCCGGUGCCUCGAUGUGCCUGGCUACACGGCCAUGUUGGUUCGAGUGAUGGUUGAGUCAGGCUAUCGGUGGUAUCCGGAAUAUACCGUCGAGGAGCAGUUCAGAGAUUUCAACUAGAGCCAAUACCUUUGUACCAUCAGGAUAUAUCCCUCUUAUCCUGGAGCCACUGAGCCCCUUCAUUGUUCCUAUGGACUUGGGGUCACUAUUGAGAUGUCUGUGCAGGAUGCGGCCUAUUUAAUGAUGACUAUCAUUCGAGCCAGGACUGCCUUGCUACAGAACACCGAUUUCCGUUACAUGCCAGCCUCACUUCCUGGAGCACAGGGGUACUAUCAGGCUUUGUACUAUGACUCUACACAUGAGGAGUCACUACUCCGCACCACUGCCGAGAUGCUCGAGGAUAAGGACCGCGAAAAUCGGGCCUUGCGUAUGGAGCUUUUCCACACUCGUUCUGAUCAUUGGGCCACUUUGACUCGGUUUGCACCUGUGGUGCAGGCAGGAUACAUGGACAUGAGGGACCUGUACCCUGUACGGUCUGGAUUGCCAGAUUGUAUGGAGUGGCGUGAUGUAGGAGGCAUCACCCCUCCCCGUGGUCCCCGUCUGCCACCGCCUGUGGGACCAAGGCCACAACCGAGUCCCUAUGGUCCGCAUGCUCCGCAGGACCGUCUGUUCCCAGAUGAUCAUGUUCCACUUCCAGGCUUUGGUGGUGACUUUUAUGAGGAUUACUACGGAGCCGUCUGAGCUAGUAGUAGUUUCACUAGUAUUGUAAUAGUUGUAUUCUCCACAGUCCUGCGUGACCGUGGGAUACGACUUGGUGUGUAUCACGCUCCGGAGGUGUAGAAAAAUAAUGUAUAGGAGCUUGGAAUGCCUCCGAUGAGAUGUAAUGUUUUUCACCGUAGUUGUACUCUAGCAUGGGCUUGUACUAAACUAUGUACGGUGUGUAUGACCAAUGGUAUAUAUAUGGCAGUUUCUAUAUUACCAUGUCGUGCAAUGAACAUCUUAGCAUUCCAUGUUAUCCAUUACAUUCUGCACUUCCUUGCUAAGUUUGUGCCAUCCUUGUCUAAACCGUUGUCUUGUUUUUCCUAGGAUGGUCAACACCCGCAGCAACCCUGCUGCCCCGGAGCAGGGGGAAGCCAGUGCAGCCAGGGGUGAAAAUCUUCCUCACCCACCUUCUUUGGCCGAAGUUAUGCUAGAGGCGGAAAGAAACAAGCGUGAGACUAACCGCUUGCUAGAGCGGAUUGAGCAGAACACUGCACACCAUCAGCGAAAUGACUUGGUGUCAAUCAAUGACUUCAUCAAGUUGUACCCACCAAAGUUUAAUCAUUCUGUCGAGCCCCUCGACGCGGAUGACUGGCUCCGCAGCAUCACACACAAGCUACGUUCCGCUAACGUAGCCGAAGCUGAUAAGCUUAGCUAUGCUGCCUAUCACCUCGAAGGCCUUGGUAGCCUUUGGUGGGAAAACUUUGAGGCUAUGCGCCCGGUCGGCCAAAUCACUACUUGGGCUGAAUUCAGUGAGGCUUUCCGUGAGCACCACAUCCUGGAAGGUCUCAUAGAUCGUAAGAGGGAAGAGUUCUACAAUUUCACCCAAGGAAGACUGACUAUGGAUGCAUAUAGUCGUGAGUUUGGGAAUCUGGCAUGAUAUGCUCCUGAAGAGGUAUCCACCGACGCUAAGAAGCAGGCAAGGUUCCACAAGGGACUUAGCCCUGAGCUUCGCCGCGAUCUUCGUCUGCACGAGUGCACCUCCUUUCAGAAGUUGGUCAAUAAAGCCAUCAGUGCUGAGACAGGCCAGUCUGACUAUGACGCUUCACGCAAGCACUCUCGUGAUUUUGGUUCUUCAUCCGGCUCUGGAUCUCAGAAGCGCCGGGUGUGGAUUCCAAGCACGGCACUGCCACCCAAGUUCAUUCUGAGGCCAUCCUUUGAGGCGCCUCGGCCCAACCAGCAGUUUGCACCGUGUAAGACCUAUGGUGGCCCCGCUGUUAAUGCUGCUCCACGCCCCAAUGUUGUGAUAUGUUUCAAGUGUGGAGAGCCGGGUCACUACAGUCGAGAGUGUCCCCAGAACAACAACCCCAAUCAGUCUGGAAAGUUCAUUGGCCGUGGUAAGCUAGCGGGAAAGACCUUCUACGCCAAGCCAACCACCACUACACGUGGCCAUGUUAACUAUGUCUCGGCUGAGGAGGCUCAUGAGGAUCCUAACGUCGUCCUUGGUGCGCUCCUUGUUAAUUGCCAUCCGGCAUCUGUUCUUUUCGACACUGGAGCAUCUCAUUCAUUCAUAUCUGAGAGCUAUGCUCGAUUGCAUAACACGACAUUCUGUGACAUGCCCACUACCAUGGAAAUUCAAACCCGGCUCUAGAUGGCAAACUUCUAGAGUAAGCCAUGGGAAUGAAUUUUUUGUUGAUAGACUUGUCUUCCUUGCAUCCUUAAUAGCUCUCAAGUCCUCGAACAUAAACAUUAUCUUGGGUAUGGACUGGAUGUCAGCUCAUUAUGCUAAGAUUGAUUGUGCCACUAGAACUGUUCAACUUACUCACCCAUCGGGCAAGACAGUCAAUGUCUUAACUCGAGUGGCCAAGCACUAGCUUUACUCCCUAAAUGCCAACCCCUUCCAGACCUUGAAGAUAUUCCGGUAGUCCGAGACUUUCCGGAUGUCUUUCUAGAAGAACUGCCAGGUGUUCCACCUGACAACGAUGUCGAGUUUGUGAUAGACCUUGUUCCAGGAACCGUUCCAAUUUCUAGGAGACCCUAUAAGAUGGCACCCUUAGAACUAGCCGAGCUUAAGAACCAACUCGAUGAGUCCUUGAAAAAGGGUUUCAUCCGUCCUAGUUCCUCUCCUUGGGCUUGCCCCGUCCUCUUCGUCAAGAACAAGGAUGGAACGGAUCGGAUGGUCGUAGAUUACCGACCUGUCAACUUGGUCACUAUCAAGAACAAGUAUCCGCUUCCCAAGAUCAACGAUAUGUAUGACCAGCUCGCUGGAUCCUCAGUCUUUUCCAAGAUGGAUUUGAGGUUGGGCUACCAUCAAAUCAAAAUCAGAAACGGGGACAUUCCCAAAACGGCCUUUAUUACUCGUUAUGGCCAAUACGAGUACACCGUCAUGUCUUUCGGUUUAACCAAUGCCCCAGCCACCUUCUCUCAGUUAAUGAACUCAGUCUUCAUGGAGUAUUUGGAUAAAUUCGUCAUGGUAUACCUCGAUGAUAUAAUCAUCUACUCCAAGAGUGAGGAGGAACAUGCCAAACAUCUAAGGCUGGUAUUGACGAAACUUCGAGAGCAUCGUCUUUAUCCCAAAUUCUCAAAGUGUGAAUUUUGGUUGCCAGAAGUGACCUAUGUAGGCCAUGUAAUCUCUGGUAAGGGUAUUGUUGUCAAUCCUGAGCGAGUUCAAGCCGUCCUUGAUUGGACUCCACCUGAAACGGUCAAGCAAGUUCGGAGCUUCCUUGGCUUAGCGAGCUAUUGCCGCCGCUUCGUCAAGAAUUUCUCCAAGGUUGCUAAACCCCUAACUGAACUCCUCAAGAAAGAUAAAAAGUUCGAAUGGACCCCACAAUGCGAGUUCAGCUUUCAGGAACUGAAAAGACGCCUGACAUCUGCUCCCGUACUGGUACCACCAGAUUUCUCCAAGGACUUUAUUAUCUAUUGCGACGCCUCGCGACAAGGACUAGGUUGUAUACUCAUGCAAGAUCGUCAGGUAAUUGCCUAUGCUUCACGGCAAUUACACCCACAUGAGGAAAAUUAUCCCACACAUGAUCUAGAGCUUGCAGAUGUAGUCCAUGCACUCAAAACUUGGCGACAUUACCUUCUCGGUAAUCGUUGUGAGAUCUUCACCGAUCACCAAAGUUUGAAAUAUAUCUUCACCCAACCGGAUUUGAAUCUCAGGCAAAGACGUUGGGUCGAGUUGAUCUCAGAUUACGACUUAGGAAUAACUUACACCCCGGGCAAAGCCAAUGUCAUGGCUGAUGCGCUAAGUCGUAAAUCUUAUUGUAACAACCUGAUGUUACAACAAAGUCAACCACUUCUCCACGAGGAAUUUUGUAAGCUUAACCUUCACAUUGUUCCUCAAGGAUUCCUAUCCACCCUGGUGGCGAAACCUACCCUUACGGAUCAGAUCAUCAAGGCACAGAAGGUAGAUCCGGGAAUCUCCCGUAUUAAGAGAAACAUUAAGAAAGGAGUCGCGAAUUGUUUCUCCGUUGAUGAUCAAGGUGUCGUAUACUUUGGAAACCGCUUAGUGGUUCCCAAAGCACAAAACCUGAGGCGGCUGAUUCUUAAGGAAGCUCAUGAAUCCCCUCUCACCAUUCAUCCCAGUAGUACUAAAAUGUAUCAAGACCUACGCCAGAGGUUUUGGUGGACUAGGAUGAAGAGAGAAAUUGCUCAAUACAUUGCUAGUUGCGACGUUUGUCAUCGUGUUAAAGCAGAGCAUCAAUGGCCUGUUGGCACCCUUCAACCUUUGGCUAUUCCUGAGUGAAAAUGGGAUAAAAUCAGUAUGGAUUUCAUUAAUGGGUUUCCCAGGACCAAGAGAGGGAAUAAUGCCAUCUUCGUCGUAAUCGACCGCCUUUCCAAAGUAGCACAUUUCCUACCUGUUCGUGAGAGUAUCACCGCUAGCCAGCUAGCUGACCUAUACAUCUCCCGAAUAGUAUUUCUUCAUGGUCUCCCAUUGGAAAUUAACUCAGACCGUGGGAGUCUCUUCACCUCUCGAUUUUGGGAAAGUUUCCAAAAUGCUAUGGGAACUCAUCUCUCUUUUAGGACCGCCUUCCACCCUCAAUCAAGUGGUCAAGUAGAGCGAGUCAAUCAAAUUCUGGAGGAUAUGCUCCGAGCUUCUGUCAUCUCAUUUGGAAUGGGUUGGGAGAAAUGCCUUCCAUUCCCGGAGUUUGCUUACAACAAUAGUUAUCAAGCUAGCUUUGGCAGAGCUCCUUUCGAAGUUCUCUACGGACGAAAAUGUCAAACACCUCUUAACUGGUCAGAAACCGGGGAAAGACAACUCUUUGGCCUGGAUAUGAUUCAGGAAGUAGAAGAGCAGGUUCGCGUUAUUCGUGAGAAAAUGAAAACAGCCCAAUCUCGUCAAAAGAGCCAAUAUGAUCGUAAACAUAAGCUCAUGACUUAUGACGUUAGCGAGAAGGCUUACCUUCGGGUUAUUCCAUUAAAGGGAACCCAUCGUUUCAGUAUCAAAGGCAAAUUGGAUCCUCGUUACAUUGGACCCUUUCGCAUUCUUGCCAAACGAGGAGAAGUUGCCUACCAAUUGGAACUACCUCCGCAUCUUUCUAGAGUUCACGAUGUCUUCCACGUUUCUCAACUUGGGCGUUGCCUCGCGGAUCCUAUCCGUGGAGUGGACCACAAAACACUUGAUCUACAAGAUAAUCUCUCGUAUCAGGAAUAUCCCGUUCGUAUCCUUGAUCAAGCCGAGCAUACCACUCGACGCCAUAACAUCAAAUUUCUCAAGGUUCAAUGGUCACACCAUUCCGAAAAGGAAGCCACUUGGGAAAGGGAGGAUCGUCUUCGACUCGAGUACCCCACUUUCUUCCCAACAGAUCCUAAAUCUCGGGACGAGAUUCUUUUGAGUGGGGGUGAGUUGUCACACCCUAGCUAGUUCAUGCAUUAGAGUGAUUGCAUCAUGUUUAAAUUUCCCAAAAAAAUGAAAUCGGGAUGAUAGAACCCCCAACACCCCCCUGGAACAACUAGGGUUUACUAAAAACUUUUUCAAUGAACCUGAAAUGCCCUUCUAAAAAGUCCACCCUUUUUGUUUUGGGUUAAAACCUUUGACAAAAAUGGUGCACACUUUUCUAGGACAUCUUAAGGUCAUUGGAUUAAAUCAUUACGAUUUGAAUUUGGGCAAUUUAAAUCCUAUAAAUAUUUUAAAAUGCCCAAAUAACCCUGAAAGUAUUUUUAGGCUAUUGAGAAUAUUUUCAAAUGUGCCUCUGAAUAUUUCUAGGUUUUUCCUAAAUGAAAUAGUAUUUUUACUAUUUCAAAACACAGAACAGGAAUAAAUAAAAAGAAAACAGAAAGCAGAAAGAGUAGAGGCUUACCUGACGCCCACCUAGCAGGCCCACCUGCCAGCCCAGCCCAGCCACCGCUCCAGCGAGCUGCUUGGCUUGCCCAGGUAGGCAGGCAGGUGCUCGACACCGGCACCUGCGCGCGCCACGCAGCUGGCCGCCGCCCUGCUUCCUCCCCUCGCAGCGUUGCUACCCUGGUUCGGUCACACACCCCUCCCCGAGAUCACAAACACGCCUGUCUCUCCCCAGCUCCUCUCCCUCUCUCUCCCGCACCAUGGCCGACGCUGCCGCGCCCGCGCCACCGUGCUGACCGCGUCCACCGUCGUCCCCGUCCCGCGUCACCGUGUCCACUAGCUCCGCCGUCGUCGACUACGUCGAGCAGGCCGAGCCCCGAGCGCUGACCCCGUCUCCCCCAACUUCGGCCGCCGAGAUCGCCAUCGUCGCCCCGCUCAGCUCUGGCCUUCCCCGAGCUCGCUUCAACGCUUGCUGCAAUUGCCGUGAGCCCAGCUCCGUCCUCCCCCUCUCCAUUAACUCCCUCCUGCACCGUGUGCACCGCACCAUGCUCACCCGAGCACCCACCGGCACCGAGCUCGUCGCCGACGUGACUCCGGCCACCCACCAGCACACCUUUGCCGACCAACACACUCACCGCACCCGCAGGAGCCUGUAGCACCACUCCACGUGCCUCACCGGCGACGUUUCCGGCCAUCCCAGCUACGCGUAGAGCCUCUCCGCCACGCAAAUGGUCGCAUGUGGGCAUUUUUCGAAGCCCUCCGCCGCAUCUGUCGUCGCCGGCGUCAAACCGCCGGCGAGUUGACCUCGUUUGACCCGGGGUUUAACUCCCCUGGGUCAAUGACAGGUGGGCCCAAAGCCUUGCCAAUUUUAGUUUAGCACUAAUUAACUUUUAGUUAACCCAAUAGGUCACUGACAGAUGGGGCCCACCAGUCAGGUUUGACCUGGGCUGGCGCCUUUGACUUGCUGACGUCACAGUGAUGCAGUGCUAACGUAGUUAAUUAUUUCUGGAUUUAUUCUUAUAUAGGAAAUUCCAGAAAAUAGCCAAAACUUCUAAAAAUCAUAGAAAAUGAACCAUAGCUCCAAAUCAAACAAAUUAUAUAUGAAAAAUGAUCAGAAAAAUUCAAUCUUUCCAUCUGUAAUGGCAUCAUGCAUGACAAAACACUUUAACCUUGUUGUUUAGGUGAAACAAGCUAAUACACUUAUAAUACAUAAGAACUUAAGCUUCCAUUUGAAUCUUUGAUUCAAAUGGACCCAUUUCAACUUGUUUCCCAUUGCAUUAGGCAGGACACCUCAUUUUGCCAUGUCAUAGCAUGCAUCAUAUUGUUGCAUAUUGCCAUGUGUUGAUUAUUUUCUGUGGUGUCUUUCGUGGUAGGUUCUGCCUCCGAGGAUAUCUCUGAGUAUCCAACUGAAGGGCAGUACCCUACUACUCCUCCAUCAGGCAAGCAGCCCCAUUGAUCAUAUCGAUAUAAUCCCAUGUUCUCGCUUCUGCUCUCACUUACUGCAUUAAGAAAACAACGUUUCAAACUGCUGUGUGCUGCGGUAGUUGAACCCUUAUCCUCUGCAUGACCUGUCAUUGCCAUAGUAACUAGAUGAAACCCACUAGCAUGUGUAGGAGUUGAUUGAGCCAUGUAUGUGUUUCCUACCUUGCUAUGCCUGCUAUGCUUAGAGUUGUGUCAGGUCUGGUUCAACUGGGCGAUGGGCUAGAGUGAAAUGAUUAUGUCGGUAAUGUGAGAGAUGUGUUGAACAUGAUUUGGUAAAGGUAUCGAUGAGAGGCCUUGUAGGAGUACAUGGUGGGUUGUUUCAUUGAGGCCAUCCCUAAGAACUGAGAUCUGUAUGUGUGAUUUAACAAUCAUCUACUACCAUACAUUGGGCCCGAAACCAAUGGACCCUCUCCGCUUCUUAAUCACCCUAGUACUCUGUCCAGGAGUUGCAACUAGUUUCUGGUGUUUGUAGGUUAUGUGUUGGCGGCCGUGCGUAGUGCUGGCCCUAGGGGUGGGCUAUGAUGCGGUAGAUACACCGUGGCCAGUAUGCCGGGCGCCCGUUUGGCGUCUCGAGACCCUGUUCACAUCGUUCGGGUCCGCAUGUGGAAACCUCGGCCGGACUCCCUGCGGAUGGAACUUGGAUAGGUGAUAAACCUGGACUAGAGACUUGAGUGUUUAGGUAGGCCAUGGCCGACACCCUCGUUGGGCUUCCGCUUGAAGGUUGACGAGUACAUGUGUAAACGACGGUAAGUGGUGAGAGCGUGUAUGAAUAAGUACACCCCUGCAGGGUUAACAUCAUCUAUUCGAAUAGCCGCGUCCGCGGUAAAGGACUACUUGGUUGCCUAUACAGUUCAGAGACAAGUUAAUGGUUACAACUAAAAGACUCAAGAUAAGUGUUAGUACCGAGGAUGGCCCUCUCGUAGGAUGACGAGGGAGGAUCCCCGGUGGAGUAUUGUGUUGGUGAUUAGUGGACUCGUGUGCGAAAACUAUUUUACUAGUGGUGUCUCGUAGGAUAGCUUAGCCAAGAGUCAAAGCUGGCUUGCUGCAAUAACUCCACCACAUUCUUGAGAAUGAGCAUGUAUAGUAGGUUCUGUUGUAAGACUUGCUGAGUACCUUUGUACUCAUGUUGCUUUAAUUACUGUUUUCAGACGACAACACCGCCCCCUCCGAUGGGUUUUAUGUAGACCUUGACGUCGAUGAGUAACUUGCCACCCAGGUGGUGAUCCUGGACAUGGUGGGCCCUAUGUAGAUAGACAUGCUUCGACAAGCCUCCUUUCUUUCUAGUGUCUGUACUCAGACUAUUUGCUUCUGCAUGUGCUUGUAUGCUUGUAUGACUUGAGUGUCGGGUCAUGUGACCCCUACCUGUAUGAACAUGUUAUGUAUGGCUCUCUGGAGCCUUUAAAUAAAGUACUUGAGUUGUAGAGUUUUGUUGUGAUGCCAUGUUGUAUUUGCACAUAUCGAGCAUAUUGUGUGUAUGAUUGAAAUGCUUGGUAUGUGUGGGAUCCGACAAUCUAGUUGUUUAUCCUUGGCAGCCUCCCUUAUGGGAAAAUGUAGUCUAGUGCUCCUCGAGCCAUAGUAGUCCGCUACAUCCCGGUUCACCGGAGUCCGGCUAGCCCAGCACUACUGCUCAGGACACUUGACUGGCCGGCAUGUGUUUUAGUUCGUUCCUUUGUCUGUCCCUUCGGGGAAAUGUCACGCGGUGACAUCUGGAGUCCUGCCUAGCCUGCUACAGCCUGGGUUCCCCGGAGUCCUAUUAGCCCAGUGCUACAACCUGGAUUCACACGCUGUUGACCGACAUGCUCAAUGUGAUUCAUGUAUGUCUGUCUCCAUAGGUCUGUGCCGCUUUGGGUUCUCGACUAGCCAUGUCGGCCCGGGUUCUCUGUCAUAUGGAUGCUAGCGACACUAUCAUAUACGUGAGCCAAAAGGCGCAAACGGUCCCAGGCCAUGGUAAGGCGACACCCGUGGGGAUACCGUGCGUGAGGCCGCAAUGUGAUAUGAGGUGUUACCGGCUAGAUCGAUGUGACUUGGAAUCGGGGUCCUGACAAUCCUUCCUUACUUCCGAAGAUAAUAACCGAUUCAUAUAAAUUGUAGUCCGGAUCGCAGCCCCUCUCUACAGAGUUCAUCUUCGGGGGAUCUUCUUCCGGAGAUGAUGGAGAGCGAAACGCCUCCCCGGACUCCCCAGCUCAAGAAGCUGGUGACCUUGAAGUGUCGUCGCUAAGGGUAUCUCCAGAUCCACUAGGGCCAGAGGAUAACCCUUUGGCUGCCCGGAAUCCCCAGUAUCCGGCUCCUAAGGAGAGCGACAGUAAGGGUCCGUAUAGUGUGCGGUCGGACGCGCUGAAGGAUCUUCUGGGGCAAGCUGCCAUCUCGGAAUCGCAUUGUAUGCUAAUGGGUACGGUAAUUGAAAGGAUUUCAUCCGCUGAAAGCGGUCUGCAUGAAGCUUUUAUGAGUCUGCUGAAAGGCUUCGAGGAACGUGAAAUAAUGUAUGCUUUUAACAGUACCACAUACGUUAGGUAUGCCCAUGCAAAUAGUAGCCCCUGAGACUCUGGUUGUCGUCAAGAACGGCGGCAAACAAAGGAUCAUAGUCCCAGCUAAUAACCAGACCGCCUUUAUGUGCAGGUGGUUGAAGCUCCGGUGGCUAGCCGGACUGAUGGGUUUGCCGAACUAAAGCGGCAACUGGAUGCGGUAGAUGCCAACAUCGUGCUUGUCAACAAGUGGCUUGACGAGGCACAUGGUGAGUGAUUUUUCUGGUGAUCGUCACGUAAUAAGAGCAGCAUGAUGCCAGUAUCUUUAAUAUGUUGUGACUGCAGAUGGAGCUGCCACCAUGGAGACCCUUCGGGCGGAACUUGCCCGAGCCAAGGAGCAAGCAAGGAGUAGCAAUGCGGCCGCUUUAAAGGCGGCCGAAGAGUUAAGGGCCGAACAGGCCGCGCAUUGCGAGAGCAAGGAAAAAAUAGCCAAGAUGGCUGUAGAGUUAAAAGAUGCUUCUGACCGUUACCAGCUUCUUGCAGAAGAAAACCGGGCAAAGGCGACGGACCUGGAGAAGGCCCGGGUGGCUGCCAAGGAAGCCCACUCAAAAAUUAGAGCGACGAAGGAGGAGCUGAAUCAAGCUGCAGAUAUCGUGUCUGGGAAGCCCUUCUUGUUGCAGACUAAGCCCUCCACGCAUCGAUGCUAUAAAGAGAUCGGUGUGCAUAGAAGGUGCGCGGAUGGCCCUUGCCCGUGUCAAAACAUACUGGGCGGAGAUGGAGGCCACCACUGUUGCGGCAUAGGGUUCGGCCAUAGGCCGAUUGGCUGCCGACCACUACUUUGAAGAAGUCCUUGAAGGCGCUCGUUCGAGAGAGGCUCAGUGCUCGAAGAAUAUUAUUUUUCAGUGACAUGUAGUCCCAUUGUACAAACAAUGUUUUUCUGAAUUAAUCAAGGCUGUAUUUAUACCUUUGCCCGAAAUUACUAUGAUGCCUCCUGUGCGGCCGUUUAUGUAUAUAUGAAUAUAACCUGAAAGUUUGCAGUCGUCGGCUUCUUCCCCCACGCAUAUAAUGCGGGGGUGUUCGCAAAAGAUGCAUAUUCACACUUGAUCCAACGUCUUGGUCCGUUAAGGAGGUGAUAGCGUAGCGAACGAGGCAAUCGGACUAUAUUGCUUUAACACUUUCACUUAGCCAUAGGAGUUUGACAGUGGGGCUACUAUAUAGCCCCUGGUACUUCUGCGCUCGUCCGAGUACGGGGCGCGUACGUAUAUGACCGGGAAACGACCCUUCAUUAAUGCGGAGGAAUCCCAAAGAUUCCGAUUAGUCGUCGAGUGGUUGACCAGUCUCUCGCUAUAUCAUGACAGUCAGUUUUCGGCUUUCUCUACUGAGGUGCUCAUCCGGAUGAACCAGGGCACAAUCGCAGUAGUUCUCCCAGUUCUACCUUAGCCGAUAUAACGGAACGUAAGGUAGCAAAACGUGGGAGCCGGGCAAACCCAACAUUUGACCAAAGACAUGAUUCGGAGCUGAUGCAUAUAGGGCCAAACUCGCGAUGCCGAACACUCCCUAAGAUGUUUGGUCUUUAUAACAUAUACCGGGCUAAACAACGCCCUUUAUUAGAAACCCCAUGUGUCCAGGUACUUGCAAAAUCCUGGCAUGGCCACAUGCCAAUAACGUCGGCAUCCUUCUCGGUUGUGUGUAGUAUCCGGAGGAUGUGAGCAACAAGAGAUAGUAAAAAAGGUUUACGCAGGGUCCUAAUCUAAAAAGAAACCUUUGGGCGGGUCCCUGCUGCAUGUCUGUGCCUGUGUCUCCGUUGUGCUGUGUCAUGGACGGGUGUAACACGAUUGUCAUGUGCAAAAGGUGAGAACUUAGGUGAAAGUUUUCGUGCCAAAAAGAAGAAUGAAUUAUCAAAACUCUAGAUAAGCCUAGUUGAGCCGGGCUGGCCCUGAUUACACGCGGGAAGCCCCUGGUAUUGUUUUAUGAGGGUUUGAAAACCAAUCUCAUGCAUGUAUGAUGGAACUCCGGACUCGUCUAACCGUGUCUGUGGUCUUGACGACCUGCCAUUUUUUGGUUGGUGAGGCCAUCUAGUGUGCGGCUGUUAGAGACGCCGCAAUCUCUUUCGUACGUAAAGAAUGGUUGGUAUUUCCGCUAACUAUAAUGACGCCUUGUGGACCGGGCAUCUUGAGCUUGAGAAAAGCAUAAUGUGGUAUUGCGUUAAAACGAGCCAAAGCUGCCCUUCUGAGUCAUGCUUGAAAAUCACUUCGGAAUGGAGCGAUGUGAAAAGUUAACGUUUCACUUUGGAAGUUAUCGGGAGAACCGAAUACCACCUCUAGUAGUAGAGAGCCUAUGCAGUGGGCCUCUUGGCCAGGAAUUACUCCCUUGAAGGUAGUAUUACUGUGGCUUAUUUGUGUCGGGUCUAUCCCAAUUUUGCGGACUGUGUCCUAAUAUAUCAGAUUUAGAUCACUUCCGCCGUCCAUGAGGACCCUUGUGAAAUGGUACCCAUUUAUUAUUGGGUCUAACACCAAGGCCGUCAGUCCUUCGCGCCGGAUAUGUGUAUCGUGAUCCCUACGAUCAAAAGUGAUCGGGCAGGCCAACCAGGGGUUCGACCUUGGGGUGACGGGCUCUAUGGCGCAUGUGCAUCGGAGUGCGUGAUUGCUUCUCCUCUUUGUCACAUCGAUCACGUUUACUGUUUUAACCUCUGGUGGGAACUUCUUCUGUCCUCUGGCACUUUGCUGGUGAGGUUCAUCCUCGUCUUCGCUUGGUGUCUCUUCCCCUUUUUGUUCGGCGUUUAGCUUACCAGCCUGCUUGAAGAUCCAACAUUCUCUAUGGGUAUGAUUUGCAGGUUUGUGUGGAGUGCCGUGAAUCUGACAGAGUUUGUCAAGAAUUUUGUUUAGGCCAGAUUGUCCUUCUCUGCUUCCUUUGAAAGGCUUUUUUUCACUGACGUGGUCGGGAGCCCCUGAAUCCGGCGUUUACCGCCGUGUUAUGUGGGCUACCCUCUUUAUUUUGAUGCUUGUUUUUGUUGCAUCAUGGUUUACCAUUGCCAUCCCAGACUUCGGAUGUGCUUGGGUCGCUGGUGCUGCUACGGGCCAACCAGCUGUCCUCACCCGCACAAAAGCGUGUCAUGAGGCUUAUUAGGGCUGCCAUUGUUCUCGGUUUUUCUUGGCCGUGGUGUCUGGCAAGCCAUUCGUCUCGGACGCUGUGUUUGAAAGCUGCUAUGGCUUCGGCAUCCGGACAGUCGACAAUUUGGUUCUUCUUGAUGAGGAACCUGUUCCAAAGCUUUCGGGCGGACUCUCCGGACUGUUGGAUUAUAUGACUUAAAUCGUCUGCAUCCAGAGGUUGGACAUAAGUCCCUUAAAAAUUGGCCCGAAAAGCGUCCUCGAGCUCCUCCUAGCUUCCAAUUGAGUUUUUGGGGAGGCUUUUCAGCCAGUGCCUAGCUAGCCCUUUAAGCUUGAGGGGCAAGUAUUUAAUGGCAUGGAGAUCGUCUCCACGAGCCAUAUGGAUGUGGAGGAUGAAGUCCUCUAUCCAGACACCAGGGUUUGUGGUUCCGUCGUGCGCCUCUAUGUUCACCGGUUUGAAUCCCUCUGGGAAUUCGUGAUCCCGCACCUCAUCAGUGAAACAUAAGGGGUGUGCGGCACCCCUAUAUUGGAAUGCACCAUGGUGUUCGGAUGGUUGUAGUAUUCGGUGUUGGUUGUGUACCGUAGCGCGCUUCAUAGAUCCAUAGAUAGAUCUGGUCGCGCCGGAUUUUUGACGCAAGUUCUCACGUAGAUCAUGUGUUGACUUAUGCGUGACUUUGUUAGCCGCUCUAUCCCGUUCACAUGAUGGUGGAUCCGGCCGGUUGGCCGUAUCACUUUUCGGCUGUAUGGGCUCUAAGGCCUCAUCGUCGAAUUCCGGUAAUAGCUUGCGCUUUGGAUAGCUUUUUGGAUGGUAACUUCCACCAUACUUUGUUACUUUGUUCCACGUGCUGUUGAGCGUAUCUUGUGCUACCUUGAGCCUUUGCUUCUGUUACUUCAGGCUUCUCGCUGUGGCAAUAAGCCUUCUGCGAAGGUUCUCUUGCUCCAAGUGUGUUUCCGGGAUGAUGGGUGCAUCUUCGUUCGAACUGUUUUCUUCCCUAGACGGGGAUUGAUGAGGCUUAUCUUUGGCGUCAUUGUGUUCGAACAUCGGAUCCAUGCUAUGUUUGCAGUUUGCAUCUUGAUCGUGUUCUGCCACCGGGGUGGUGCAGUUGUCAUCUCUUCCAGAGUCACGUGGACUAUUAUUAUCGCUGUUUUUGCUGUGGCGGGACUUAGAGCGGCGCCGCUGACGUUGGCGCUUGGGUUGCUUCUUGGAGGGGGUCAUCCUCCGCUUUCUCAUCGCCGUUGGCUUCUUUGGGGGUGUCCACCAUGUAUACGUCAUGUGAUGAAGUAGCGGUCCAGCGCCCUGUGGGCGGUGGUUCCGGUUCGUCUCCUGCAUCGUCGUCCAUACCGUUGAUGUCUUCGGAGUCGAAGUCGAGUAUGUCGGUUAAGUCGUCGACAGUGGCUACUAAGUGGGUGGUGGGUGGGCAACGAAUUUCUUCGUCGUUCGCAUCCCAUUCUAGCCGGACAUAGUUCGGCCAGGGUUCUCUUGACAAGGAGAGAGACCUUAAUGAAUUUAGCACAUCUCCGAGAGGUGAGUGCUGAAAGAUAUCCGCGGAGGUGAAGUCCAUGAUCGGUGCCCCGUCGAUUUCGGCAGGCACAGAUGUAGGCGGCUCGGAGUCCGUGGCCGGGGAUAAAUCCAGUGGUUCGGCGACACGGCUCACGUACGGGGUGAAGUCAGUAUCUGGCUCUAUCGCCACUGAGAGUGCGGCCUCCAUGGCGGGGUCCAUCCCUCCGCUCUCAAUGGUGCGACUUGCUCCGGAUUAAAGACCGGAGUAGCUGCGGAUGCGAUCUCCCGAACACUGUCCGAUGGUAGAGUUACGUCUUGCUCGUCGUGACUGCAUGGCGCGUCCGGCAUGGGCUUGAAUCCGUCGAAGAUCAAGUCUCCGCGGAUAUCGGCCAUGUAGUUCAAGAUUCCAAAUCUGACCUGAUGGCCAUGGGCGUAGCUCACAAUCUGCUCCAGAUGGCCAAGCGAAUUGCCCUGUAGUGCAAAGCCGCCAAAUAUGAAGAUCUGUCCGGGGAGGAAAGCCUCACCCUAGACCGCAUCGCUGGCGAUGAUCGAAGGAUCCAUCAAGCCUUAUGGUGACGACAUAAUGGAACUCUCAAUGAAAGCACCAAUGUUGGUGUCAAAACCGGCGGAUCUCAGGUGGCGGGUCCCGACCUAUGCGUCUAAGGCUGAUGGUAACAGGAGGCAGGGGACACUAUGUUUACCUAGGUUCGGGCCCUCUUGAUGGAGGUAAUACCCUACGUCCUGCUUGAUUGUUCUUGAUGAUAUGAGUAUUACAAGAGUUGAUCUACCACGAGAUCAGAGAGGCUAAACCCUAGAAGCUAGCCUAUGGUAUGAUUGUAUGUUGUCCUACGGACUAAAACACUCCGGUUUAUAUAGACACCGGAGGGGGCUAGGGUUACACAAGGUCGGUUACAAAGGAGGAGAUAUACAUAUCCGUAUUGCCUAGCUUGCCUUCCACGCCAAUUAGAGUCCCAUCCGGACACGGGACGAAGUCUUCAAUCUCGUAUCUCCAUAGUCCAACAGUCCAUCCAAAGGAUAUAGUCUGGCUGUCCAGAGACCCCCUAAUCCAGGACUCCCUCACUUACUUUACACAUAAUGCAUGUGAAUAUGACACAUGUUCCUGUUUCUAGAACAUACGUGUUGAUAAUGAGCACAUCUCCCCUACUCCACCAUCACAGGUGCUUGCUCUAACUUGGAACUAUUAUAUGUGGUUGCGUGUUCCAUAUGAUGUCUAGUUUUUAUUGCUUCUGAUUUUGUUGAAUUGCAUCUACGUAGCUUACAACUUAUAUCUGCAACGAUCACUUACCCGUAAGACACAUUUAACUUGGGAGUGUGAUGUAGGUUGCAUCUUGCAUUGUCUUCUAGCUUGUACUGCUUCUAAUUUCUUGAAAUGGCACUUAAACGAGACACUUUUUACCUGAUAGAGUGAUAUUGGUUGCAUGUUCAUAUGGUGCCAAGCUUUCAUUUCUUCUAAUUUUGUUGAAAUUCCUUCUGGUUACUAUUUUUCAUACUUAUUCCAUCCUCCUAUCGUUCGUCUGAAUAUGCAAUGUUGUUUUUUUGUAUAUAUUUUAUCUUCCUAUCGUACGCUUGCCUUACAUCAAAGUAGUGUUAUUCUGUAUCUUGCAUCAACCAGUUAUGCAGAGCUAAUUUUAUUCAUCUUCUUUUGGUUAUGACUUCAUAAGGCAAUAUUAGAAAAUAGAAAGGAAAAGAGUAAGUUAGGGGAUGUUGGUGGUCCUUCGGACCAACGCAAACGGAGACUUUCUAGAUUUUCCACUCCUACUGCUAAUGAAGUUGAAGUCCCAAGUCUACAUGAUGAGUUCAUCUCCCGUACUCCACCAUCGCAGGUGCUUGCUCUAAGUUGACAAUGUGAUAAUUGGUUUCAUGUUGCAUAUGUUGUUUAGCCUGUUUCUUCUAUUUUGAUUAAAUUGCACCUGUUGAGUUUAUACGUUAUACAUGUGUGUAUGACAUGCCUUUUUGUGUCUAGAAUACACCGCAUCUAUCAAUCAUACCAUGUUCUUACAUCAAAUUACUGCUGUUGCGUAUCCUGCAUUAGUCACUCAUGAUUGGACGCUUUUAACAUGGCAGUUUGAUAGUGGUUGCAUCUUGCAUUGAUUUCUACAUUGUACUGCAUCUAAUUUUUUCAAAUGCCACUUCUGAUAAGACACUUUUAACUUGGCAGAGUGAUAUUGGUUGCAUCUUUCAUAUGGUGUCUAGCUUGGAUUACUUCUAUUUUAUUGAAAAUAUUCCUGCUUAGUUUACACAUCGUAGCUGUGAAUAUGUCACGCCGUCUUGUUUUUCUUACAUAUUCCAUCCUCAUACGAUUGUCUUACAUGAAAGUAUUGCUUGUAUGUAUCAUGCAUCAAUGAGUUCUAAAGAGCGAUUUUAUUCUUUUGUGUUGUGGGUACGACUUGACAUGGCAAAGUAAAAGAAGAUCAAGGAAAAGAAUAUAGUAGGGAAUGGUGUUACUCGUCGGGUGAAACGGAAAAGGAUCUGCCCUCGAGAUUCUGCUGGUAGUUAUAGUGCAGUAGAAGGUCCAAGUCCACCGGCUAAAUCUACAAACACAGUAUCACAUACUCCACCAGCUACAGCAUCCGCUUCAACUGUACCAGCAUAUCAAUGAGUUACUCGUUCAUUUGCUCCAGAACUGGCUAGUUCCCAAGCUGCCUUCACACCUAACACUACUUCCGAAGCACUGCUAACACAACAGGACUUGGCAAGAUCAGAUGAACCUCAUGAGCAUCAACACCAAGACGGUACCUGACCGAGUCAAGUUGCAGUUGCAUGCUGCUUUAUAUGUACUCUCACAGUUUGAUGUGCACUAACACUUUCCAUAUUAGUUGUUGAACUAGCACCACAGCGCAAGCGGAAACAGACAUCAGGGACAAUGCUUGACAGAUUAACAAAAUCUAAAGGAGGAAGAAUUGAGAUCCAUUUUGAGGCAGGUUUAAAAAGGCCACAUGAUGCUACAGAGUCAGCCAAGUUAGUAUCAGAGGCAGCCAUUGACGGGCCAGAAGUGACCAUGGGCCGCGAUGAUGAUGAGUUUAGGACGGGUCGUUGACAGGCCGAUUUGACACUAGCCGUACGGGCCUUAACUGAGAAUGUUGGGCCUUUAGCUGGGCGGGCCCAUUAUGAUCUGCAAAAUCUUGGGGACCUUUAGCUGGGCCGGCCCAUUAUGGUCCGCUAAAUCUUGUGGGCCUUUAGUUGGGCCGGCCCAUUUAAUCUUUAUAGGCCACUUUUGGGCCGGUCCACGUGUCAACAUAUCAUAGGUGCAUCUCGCCCAUUGGAUGAGUGACACAUGUGCCAACGCAAAGCUUACAUGUGGUUCCUUCAGCUAAUGAGAAUUUUACAUGUGGAAAAUCUGCGUUGGUCUUGGCUGCUAGCAGGUGAAUGGAUCCAAAACCGGACCAGAUAGCUUAACGGCGACCCGUUACGGUGGAUGCCAUGUGUCGGUCACCCUUGAUGAAAGCACUUCUAUGAAGAGUGAUUUAUCGUCAUGGAAGUGGACACUUCCAUGAUGAUAAUUUUGGUGAUGCCAUGGAACACUUCUACGACAGCACAUGUAUGACUAUCUUGAUUCUGUCAUAAAAGCAUCAUGGAUGUACAUGCAUGACAGAAAACGUGACCUACUAUGACAAACACGUAUCAUCACGGAAGUGUAUUUUUUUUUGUAGUGAUGACAAUAUCCAGGCAAUGAUCAUUAUAUAGGCAUCACGUCCAACAUUAGUAGACCGACUCCUGCUUGCAUCUACUACUAUUACUCCACACAUCGACUGCUAUCCAGGAUGCAUCUAGUGUAUUAAGUUCAUGGAGAAACGGAGUAAUGAAAUAAGAACGAUGACAUGAUGUAGACAAGAUCCAUUUAUGUAGAAAUAGACCCCAUCUUGUUAUCCUUAAUAGCAACGAUACAUACGUGUCGCUUCCCCUUCUGUCACUGGGAUCAAGCACCGCAAGAUUGAACCCAUCACAAAGCACCUCUUCCCAUGGCAAGAAAAAUCGGUCUAGUUGGCCUAACUAAACCAAAGAUUUUAAGAAGAAAUACGAGGCUAUAAGUAAUCAUGCAUAUAAGAGAUCAAAAGACUCAAAUAACUUUCAUGGAUAAAAACAUAUAUCUGAUCAGAAACUCAAAGUUCAUCGGAUCCCAACAAACACACCACAAAAAGAGUUACAUCAAAUAGAUCUCCAAGAGACCAUUGUAUCUAGCUACUAACUACGGACCUGUAGGUCUACAAAAGACUAUUCACACAUCAUCGAAGAGGCACCAAUGAGGAUGAUGAACCCCUCCGUGAUGGUGUUUAGAUUGGAUUUGUGGUUUCUGGAACUUGCGGCGGCUAGAAUUGAUUUUCGUCGACUCCCUCCUCAUAAUGGUGGCCACCGGGAUGACUGUGGCACCCCGGCUCAGAGCGACCGGUUUACCCUGCAUUGCCAGCCCAGAGACCAUGUCUUCUGGCAACACACAACAUCUUGGUACAGAAAAACAACCGCUUUAUUGAUGCUAGCGGAUCGGAGUUUAUAUUACAACAAAUGUCAAGGCCAAGCAGCACGCACGGUGCGGCUGAACAAUAUGUACAUUAUUUAGUGAACAUAAAGGGGCCUCGAUCAUAACAACUAUGCGGCAGCGGAACAACGUCGUAGCGGAAACUCCAUAGCAUAGGGACACCGAUGUGGACACGAUCUAGACUCGAGCAGCGCUCCUUUCCAACUCGACUUUCCUGAAAUCUGGCAUGGCACGCCAGGUCAGUACAUUAAAUGUACUUGCAAGCUCACAACAAGCAUAAUCAUAAUGACAAACAAUAUCAUGAUAAUUAACCAGUUAUGAAUGCAAUAAUGUUCCAACAUGCUGUGAUCAUGCUCUUGUGAUAAACGUCCCUCGGGACCGACUUACCAACCGUGAUCGUUCUCGGAUCACAAACAAACCACCAUCGUGGUCUUGACCAGAGUAACUCGUGAUCCUUACGGAGAUCACAACCACGACCAAUAUUUGGUCUCGAACAUCUCGAUGGCCUUUCCGCCAUCAUCAACAGUGCAAAUUUCAUGACUUAGUGUGCAAGUUUAUUAAACGUUGACUCAUGGUGGGACCUACUAUGAGGCGUCCGUGACCGUGGACUCGGCAAUCGACAGAUUAUACACUCUGCAGAGGUAGCACACUGUACCCACACCAUGGAACCCAUGGCCUCACACUCCCAUUCGGGUGGACCAAUGGCAUUCCGAUGAAACCCUUCCAUUGCCAUGGCACUCUCCCGACCACUCCGACCCUAUCCCCAACGGGCUAGUCCUGGGUGGCCCCGUGUCUACCAAAGACACAUCGACCACCGUCGUGGCCAAAACGAUCCCACUCGGGGACCCGGUACCAUAAUCUCAAUAAUGGGCACACAAGGUUAUGCGUGCUUACCGGGCCAGGGUAAGCAUGCCCAUAACCUUCCCUAGUUGGAGGCACCGACUAGAGGCAUGUCAAUGGACCGAAUCAAGGCCUUCCCACAAAGGCAAAUGUGGUUGCACUGGGAAAAUCUCGAUUCAGCGGCACCAUGACCCAGUCAACGAUAUAUUCAAGUUGAGUUAUAUUCAGGUUCAACUUAAAAUGAAAAUGACCGGUGUCAUAGCAUGCCAUGAAAUGCAAUACUACACAUGCAUCACAUAUUAACGAAAAUGACUGAUGUUAACCAUAUUCACACUAAGCAUAAGCAUCAACAACUUAUAUUACUUUCCUGGACAGGGUAACUCCCACUUUAACAAUAUAUUUUGCAGCAAGUAUUAUCAUUUUCUCAUCCAAGAAAAUAACUUCGAUUAAUUUCUCAUAUGCAUAGCAAAAAUUUACUAUCAUCACCACAAUCAAAUCCUAAUUUCUUUACUAACCAAGUUAGGUUCAAACAUUCUAUAAAUGGCUAAACAAGUACUUAACAGAAUAUUUUCUAGAAAAUUUAACUAUUUUAUUUAUGCAAAAAAUAACUUUAAGUAAUUACUCAUAUGCAUAACAAAUCAUUUUAUCAUUACCACAAGUAGGCCUUAGCCUUUGUUUAAUAACUAAACUAGUUCCAAACAUUCUGUAAAUCAAGCAUAAUGACUAACAAAUACUUGAUAGAAUAUAAGACAAGCGUCACGCUCUGAAAAUAAAUUUAAGCACAAGAAGAAAAUAUCAAGAACUCUUCUGAAAAUCACCAGAAAUUCUAGACAACUCAGAAAAAUCUCAUUUUUGGUGAGCUGCUAGAUUUCUUUGCAACGAACAUAAUGCAAAAAGAAUCAAGUCAUUUGGACUUAUGGUUGAAGAGUUAUAGCUGUUUGAAGCUCUCUGGAAAUGGAUUGAAUUUGAAUUUAAAUAAAACAUACUAGGGGGGUGACGUCGAAGGCGUAAAGCCUCAGGGCACCACCACUCGUACCGCUUCGCGCACGUACUGAGUGGCUGACUAGCGGGCCCUGCUAGUCAGGUGAGAAGGAGGGGAGAAGGAAACAGAGGGGGUCGUGGCUUCGCCGGAGCUCUUGCCGGUGACGAGGGCUCCUUGGCCAAAACGAGAGGGAGGGAUUGAGAGAGGGGGUGGAGGCGCACCUGCCCGUACCCGUAGCGUAGCUAGGGGUGGUCAAACAGCGUCAGAACCGACCUCGCAAGCGGAGGGAGAGGGCGGUGGUCGCCGGAGAUGAGGAAGACUGCGAGCAGAGGCAACUUCAGGGGCUCUAGGGGGACGGGAUGGCUUCACCGGAGAGAGGCGGAGGCCCUGGAAGGAUCGCCCUGGCCUGGGAGGGGCUGGAGCUACCGCGACGACCAGAGGGGAUCGCCGGCGAGCUCGAGCUCAAGGACGGCGGCCAGCGGCCUGCCCGACCAGGCUACGGUUUCUUGCGCGCUUGUGGGGUGUGUGGGAGUGGUGGAUGGUGCUCGAGGAGGCUGGGGGCGGCUCCAUUUUUAGGCGAGCAGAGAGGGGGGGUUCGGGCUCCGCCGGUGGACACCUGUCCACGGCGCCCGGCGACAAGCGGCGUCAGUGAGAGGGGGAGAAGGCGACGCAGCUCACGCGGCGACUGUUGGCAAACGGGGACGAACACAGGAACGAGCAGAAGGCGACAAGCAUAGUGUGCACCGCACUGUUGGGUUGGCCGGACCGUGUCCGUGCUCGCUGCGGCGAGCUCUGGCAUCGGCGAGCGCCUGGGGGUGUUAAUAGCGUUCAGACGAGGAUGGUGGCAAAGUUUGGCACGCUCGGGCAGAUGAGGGAAGCGAGCACGCGCGAACACAGCGCUCGGUGGAACCCAGAGCGUGCUGAUAAGCAUGCUGGCAUCAUGGACACGCGCGGUCACCACGUGAACUCUUCCCUCAGGCCGACCAAUGUCCAAAGAUCAUGUCUGGCUUGAUGUUCGUGGUAGUUUUGAGGAUUACCACGCUUUGGUUUGGCUCCAGAUGCAGUAGAGAAGAUUUUACAUGCCAGGUAAGUUUCUGAUCAGUAACUUUGAGAUGUUACUGAGGUCAAAUGGUUGGGAGUUGGGGGCUGUGCUUUGGAGGCUAGCCAUCAUCUACCAAGGUGAUGAUGCACAAGAAAAUUCAGGCACAAUGGAGCAAGUAAAAUGGUAGUUGAUGUAGAAACCACCAUUUCUGUCCAGAACAGAAAAUAUUUUCUGUAGCAAAAAUAUUCCAAAAAGUGAUGAAAUAUUUUUGCUCGGGAAGGUGCCCUAGGGUUUAAAGAAUAUUUGGGAAUUUUCUCAGAUUUUUGUCAGCAAGAAAAAUGAGGGUUACUUUGGAGCUCAUUGAACUAGCUAGGGUUUUAGAGAGGAAAAAUGAAUAUUUUUCUUUAUUCCCAAGAUUAUUUUGAGGUGGAUCAGGAGGGGAAUGAUGAUUAGAGAGGGGAAUGAUGCACUUGGUUGAAAUCCAAGGGCACCCAAGUGUUUAAGUCCAUAUGAAAAGAUACAAAAACCCCAACUUUCAAAAUAAAUCCAAAUGAAAAUCAGGCAAAUAAGAGAGGGCAAGAAUCAGGCUGUCACAAUGAUGAAGAUGGUUACCGGUGAUGAUUUCCUCCUCCGGCAGGGUGUCGGAACAGGGUCUAGAUUGGUUUUUCAUGGCCAUAGAGGCCUGCGGCAGCGGAACUUCUGAUCUAGGGUUACCCCCGGGGUUUUGGAAUAUUUGGGAAUUUAUAGGGCCAAGAGGCGGUGCGGGAGGCCACCGAGGUGGGCACAACCCACCAGGGCGCGCCUGGGCCCCCAGGCGCGCCCAUGUGUGUGGUGCCCUGAUGACCCACAAGUAUAGGGGAUCAAUUGUAGCUCUUUUUGAUAAGUAAGAGUGUCGAACCCAACAAGGAGCACAAGGAAAUGACAAGUGGUUUUCAGCAAGAUAAUGUCUGCAAGUGCUGAAAUUGUUAGUAGUAGAUUAGCUUGAUAGCAAGAUAAUUUGUAAUGAGCAAGUAACGAUUGAAGGAAAUAUGCCCUAGAGGCAAUAAUAAAGUUGUUAUUUAUAUUUCCUUAUAUCAUGAUAAAUGUUUAUUAUUCAUGCUAGAAUUGUAUUAACCGGAAACUUAGUACAUGUGUGAAUACAUAGACAAACAAAGUGUCACUAGUUUGCCUCUACCUGACUAGCUCGUUGAAUCAAUGAUGGUUAUGUUUCCUGACAAUAGACAUGAAUUGUCAUUUGAUUAACGGGAUCACAUCAUUAGGGAAUGAUGUGAUUGACUUGACCCAUCCAUUAGCUUAGCACGAUAAUCAUUUAGUUUAUUGCUAUUGCUUUCUCCAUAACUAUACAUGUUCCUAUGACUAUGAGAUCAUGCAACUCCCGGAUACCGAAGGAACACUUUGUGUGCUACCAAAUGUCACAACGUAACUGGGUGAUUAUAAAGGUGCUCUACAGGUAUCUCCGAGGGUGUUUGUUGAGUUAGCACGGAUCUAGAUUAGGAUUUGUCACUCCGAUUGUCGGAUAGGUAUCUCUGGGCCCUCUCGGUAAUGUACAUCACUAUAAGCCUUGCAAGCAAUGUAGCUAAUGAGUUAGUUACGGGGUGUAGCAUUACGGAACGAGUAAAGAGACUUGCCGGUAACAAGAUUGAACUAGGUAUUGAGAUACCGGCAAUCGAAUCUCAGGCAAGUAACAUACCGAUGACAAAGGGAACAACAUAUAUCGUUAUGCGGUUUGACCGAUAAAGAUCUUCAUUGAAUAUGUAGGAACCAAUAUGAGCGUCUAGGUUCUGCUAUUGGUUAUUGACCGGAGACAUGUCUCGGUCAUGUCUACAUAGUUCUCGAACCCGUAGGGUCCGCACGCUUAAUGUUCGGUGACGACCGGUAUAAUGAGUUUAUGUGUUUUGAUGUACCGAAGGUAGUUUGGAGUCCUGGAGUUGAUCACGGACAUGACGAGGAGUCUCGAAAUGGUCGAGACAUAAAGAUCGAUAUAUUGGACGACUAUGUUUGGACAUCGGAAGGGUUCCGAGUGAAGUCCGGGCAUAUACCAAAGUACCGGGGGGUUAGCGGAACCCCCCAGGGAGUUUAAUGGGCCUUAUGGGCUUUAGUGGAAAGAGUGGAGGGGCUGCGAGGGCAGGCCGCGUGCCCCUCCCCCUCUGGUCUGAAUUGGACUAGGAAGGGGGGCGGUGCCCCCCUUUCCUUCUCCCUCUUUCCUCCUUCCUUCUCCUACUCCUACUACAUGGAAAGGGGGGAAUCCUUCUCCCAGUGGGAGUAGGACUCCCCAUGGGGCGCGCCAUAGGAGGGUCGGCCCUCCCCCUCCUCCACUCCUUUAUAUACGGGGGAGGGGCACCCCAUAGACAAACAAGUUAAUCAUUGACCUUUUAGCCGUGUGCGGUGCCCCCCUCCACCAUAGUCCAGCUCGGUUAUAUCGUAGCGGUGCUUAGGCGAAGCCCUGUUCCGGUAGCAACAUCAUCACCGUCAUCAUGAAGUCGUGUUGACGAAACUCUCCCUCGAAGCUCUACUGGAUCGUGAGUUCGCGGGACGUCACCGAGCCAAACAUGUGCAGAUCGCGGAGGUGCCGUAUCUUUGGUGCUAGGUCCGUCGAUCGUGAAGACGUAUGACUACAUCAACCGCAUUGUCAUAAUGCUUCCGCUCACGGUCUACGAGGGUAUGUAUAUGAUACUCUACCCUCUCAUUGCUAUGCAUCACCAUGAUCUUGCGUGUGUAUAGGAAAAUUUUGAAAUUACCACAUUCCCCAAUAGUGGCAUCCGAGCCAGGUUUAUGCAUAGAUGUUAUAUGCACGAGUAGAACACAAAGGAGUUGUGGGCGUGGGUAUAUACAUAUUGCUUGUCGUCACUAGUUGAUUCUUCAUUCAGCGGCAUUGUUGGACGAAGCGGCCCAGAUCGACAUUGCGCGUACGCUUACGCAAGACUGGUUCUACCGACGUGCUUCGCACACAGGUGGCUAGUGGGUGUUUGUUUCUCCAGCUUUAGUUGAAUCAGAUUCAAUGAACAGGGUUCUUUCUGAAGAUCAAAAAGUAAUCACUAUACCGCAUUGUGGUUUUCGAUGCAUAGGUAAGAACGGUUCUUGCUCAGCCCGUAGCAGCCAUGUAAAACUUGCAACAACAAAGUAGAGGACAUCUAACUUGUUUUUGCAGGGCAUGUUGUGAUGUGAUAUGUUCAAGACAUGAUGCUAAAUUUUAUUGUAUGAGAUGAUCAUGUUUUGUAACAUAGUUAUCGGCAACUGGUAGGAGCCAUAUGGUUUUCGCUUUAUUGUAUGAAAUGCAAUCGCCAUGUAAUUGCUUUACUUUACCACUAAGCGGUAGCGAUAGUCGAAGAAGCAAUAGUUGGCGAGAUGACAAUGAUGCUUCGAUGGAGAUCAAGGUGUCAAGCCGGUGACGAUGGUGAUCAUGACGGUGCUUUGGAGAUGGAGAUCAAAGGCACAAGAUGAUGAUGGCCAUAUCAUAUCACUUAUAUUGAUUGCAUGUGAUGUUUAUCCUUUAUGCAUCUUGUUUUGCUUAGUUCGCUGGUAGCAUCAUAAGAUAAUCUCUCACUAAAUUUCAAGGUAUAAGUGUUCUCCCUGAGUAUGCACUGUUGCUACAGUUCGUCGUGCUGAGACACUACGUGAUGAUCGGGUGUGACAAGCUCUACGUUCACAUACAACGGGUGCAAGCCAGUUUUGCACACGCAAAAUACUCGGGUUAAACUUGAUGAGCCUAGUGACGAUGUCGUGUACCUAGGGUAGGGCAAUAGACCUGAUUAAAGCAUCCCUCCCAAGGACACUGCCCUACAUUCAAACACAAUCAAAGGACAGCAAGUUCAAACUGACUGGAAUCACUAGAGUGCGUGCCCACUUGACCAACAUCUCCAUUCGGAUAUCCCAAUUCCAUUCGACUGGCAUAUCAUCACUCAAAUGUACAAGAAACCACUCGAAGUAUAGAAGGCCUAAAGUCACCCCAGGCAGCAACGGUCCAGCAUUCACUCCGUAGUAUUAAUGAUCAGUUAUAUGACUUUAAUGCUCGCGUUACCAAUAACGCCAUGUCUUAACGUACAUUCAACCCUGUGUAACGUGGGAUGGCGGGGGUCCUGGCGCACUCUAUAUAAGCCGCCCCCUCCUCUGGCAUAAGGGUUCAGACCCCCUGUAACUUCAUGCAUAAUCCAAUCGACCAAGCCUCCGGGCACCGAGACGUAGGGAUGUUACUUCCACCGCGAAGGGCCCGAACUCGUCCAUCUUGCCUGCACAAUCUCAUUGUAGCUAGGAUCUUGCCUUUACAUUCCCACCCCCUACUUUACUGUCAGACUUAGAACCACGACACCUAGCAUAUGCAGAUAUGGCCUCGGAACAUUGGAGACCGAAAGGUCGAGCGUGAAUCAUAUAGUAGAUAUGAUCAACAUACUGAUGUUCACCAUUGAAAACUACUCCAUCUCACGUGAUGAUCGGACAUGGUUUACUUGAUAUGGAUCACCUGAUCACUUAGAUGAUUAGAGAGAUGUCUAUCUAAGUGGAGGUUCUUAUGUAAUUUGAUUAAUUGAACUUUAAUUUGUCAUGAACUUAGUACCUGAUAGUAUUUUGCAUGUCUAUGUUGUUGUAGAUAGAUGGCCCAUGAUGUUGUUCCGUUGAAUUUUAAUGCGCUCCUAGAGAAAGCUAAGUUGAAAGAUGAUGGUAGCAACUACACGGACUAGGUCCGUAACUUGAGGAUUAUCCUCAUUGCUGCACAGAAGAAUUACGUCCUGGAAGCACCGUUAGGUGACAAACCCGCUGUAGGAGCACCGCCAGAUGUUAUGAACACCUAGCAGAGCAAAGCUGAUGACUACUUGAUAGUUCAGUGUGCCAUGCUUUACGUCUUAGAACUGGGACUUCAACGAUGUUUUGAACGUCAUGGAGCAUAUGAGAUGUUCCAGGAGUUGAAGUUAAUAUUUCAAGCAAAUGCCCGGUUUGAGAGAUAUGAUGUCUCCAAUAAGUUCUACAGCUGCAAGAUGGAUGAGAAUAGUUCUGUCAUUGAACAUAUACUCAGAAUGUCUGGGUACCACAACCACUUGACUCAACUGGGAGUUAAUCUUCCUGGUGAUAGUGUCAUUGACAGAGUUCUUCAAUCACUGCCACCAAGAUACAAGAGCUUCGUGAUGAACUAUAUUAUGCAAGGGAUGGAUAAGACGAUUCCAAAGCUCUUUGCAAUGCUAAAGGCUGCGGAGGUAGAAAUCUAGAAGGAUCAUCAAGUGUGGAUGGUCCACAAGACCACCAGUUUCAAAAAAAAGGGUAAAGGGAAGGAGGGAAACUUCAAGAAGAACACCAAGCCAGUUGCUUCUCAAGUGAAGAAACCCAAGUCUGGACCUAAGCCUGAGACUGAGUGCUUCUACUUCAAAGGAACUGGUCACUGGAACCGGAACUGCCCCAAGUAUUUGGCGGAGAAGAAGGAUGGCAGAGUGAAAGGUAUAUUUGAUAUACAUGUUAUUGAUGUGUACCUUAGUAAUGCUCGCAGUAGUGCCUGGGUAUUUGAUAUUGGUUCAGUUGCUAACAUUUGCAACUUGAAACAGGGGCUACGGAUUAAGCGAAGAUUCGCUAAGGAUGAGGUGACGAUGCGCGUGGGAAAUGGUUCCAAAGUCGAUGUGAUUGCCAUCGGCAGCUACCUCUACAUCUACCUUCGGGAUUAGUUUUAGACCUAAAUAAUUGUUAUUUGGUGCCAGCGUUGAGCAUGAACAUUAUAUCUGGAUCUUGUUUUAUGUGAGAAGGUUAUUCAUUUAAAUUAUAGAAUAAUGAUUGUUCUAUUUAUAUGAGUAAUAUAUUUUAUGGUCAUGCACCCUUGAUGAGUGGUCUAUUUUUACUAAAUGUUGAUAGUAGUGAUACACAUGUUCAUAGUAUUGAAGCCAAAACAUGCAGAGUUGAUAAUGAUAGUGCAACUUAUUUGUGGGACUACCGUUUAAGUCAUAUUGGUGUAAAGCGCAUGAAGGAACUCCAUUCUGAUGGACUUCUAGAAUCACUUGAUUAUGAAUCACUUGGUACUUGCGAACCAUGCCUCAUGGGCAAGAUGACUAAAACUCCGUUCUCCGGAACAAUGGAGCGAGCAACAAAGUUAUUAGAAAUCAUACAUACUGAUGUAUGUGGUCCAAUGAACAUUGAAGCUCACGGCGGAUAUCGUUAUUUUCUCACCUUCAUAGAUGAUUUGAGUAGAUAUGGGUAUAUCUACUUGAUGAAACAUAAGUCUGAAACAUUUGAAAAGUUCAAAGAAUUUCAGAGGGAAGUGGAAAAUCAUCGUAACAAGAAAAUCAAGUUUCUACGAUCUGAUCGUGGAGGCGAAUAUUUGAGUUAUGAGUUUGGACUUCAUUUGAAACAAUGAAUUUGGACUUAACGUACAUUGAACCCUAAGUAACAUGGGAUGGCGGGGGUCCUGGCGCACUCUAUAUAAGCCACCCCCUCCUUUGGCACAAGGGUUCGGACCCCCUGUAACUUCACGCAUAAUCCAAUCGACCAAGCCUCCGGGCACCAAGACGUAGGGAUGUUACUUCCACCGUGAAGGGCCUGAACUCGUACAUCUUGCGUGCACAAUCUCACCGUAGCUAGGAUCUUGCCUUUACAUUCCUACCCCCUACUUUACUAUCAUACUUAGAACCACGACAGUUGGCGCCCACCGUGGGGCAGGUGUCUGAGCGACUUUCCGGUGAGGUUGCGAUUUCUCCGAGUCCUUUCAUCAUGGUUUCCAGCUGAGGUUUGGCUGAGGGCUGCGAGAUCCAUCUCGGCGCGCUUGUCUUCAUCGUCAACAACUCUGCUUGGCUUCAGGAAGCUCCUCUCGACAUCGAGGCGCUCCCCAUCAGCGGGGCGACACACUUUCGUGCGUGCCUUCGCGGCGUCCUUCUGCGGCAACCGUCGACUCAGUAUUGGUCGGCCCCCGCGGCAUCUUCGCUCCCCGCUGUUUGCCGUCACAAGCGAUCCAGUCGGUCACGGCUACAGCGGUGCGUGAAGCAUGCGGUGGCGCGUCAGUCGGCCACCCCUCGAGUCACGGCAAUCGAGCCCGAUGAAUCUCUCUAUGGCCUAUUCGACCUGUCGACUGGCUCCGUCGAGACCUUGUCCGAGUGCGACAGCAGCGACCCCGCGGCGGAGGUCCUGAUGGUUGACACGCCUUGCAGUCCGUCUAGCAUGCGUCGCAAUAGUGGCGAUGACGGCGCCGGUGAUCCAUCGCGCGUUCAUGAAGAGUACCACCCCGAAACUCUCUCUUCUCAGCAGAGGGAGGAACUUCACCGCCACAAUGUGGAGGCCCUCCACACGCCCAUUGUCGGCGAGUCCUCUGAGGCUUGGGCCUUGGAGGCGGCGCAUUUGGCCACUUUGGCUGAGCGCACCCGACUGGAAAACCUUCAGCGUGCACUCGACGACCGUGCUCGCCGAUAGAUCCCUGAGUCCAGUCGACGGCAGCGACAUCUAUUUCCACCUGAACCACAGGUAUACCGCACUCCGAUUCAGAAUCUUACCGCUGCGGCCCGUAUAGCAGAAUCUAUUCAGCCGUCCCAGUCGGAAGCUGGUAGAGGUUUGAUGCAGAUCAGAGCGCUGCUCCGAGCAGCGGGAGAGCAGAAUAUUGCAGUGUCUCAGUCGUGUAACAGAAUCCAUAGCAGAUCUGUAGUUGGUGACACUGUUCAGUCGGCUCACAGCCCAAGAUCGCCUCCACAGCAUGAAGGACGAGGGCAUCGCCAAGAGCAGUAGUUGAGUCGGAACCAUGAGCAGCACAAUCAUUGGCUCGACCGUGAUGACCGCCGUCGAGUGCCUACAACCCUCCGAGGGGAGAAUCAUAUGUGCCCUGGCAUUAUGAUGAUAGGCGCCCGUACAACAAAGAGCAGAGGAGGCCAGUCGACCCAAGAGAACUAGGAUUUGAUGCAAGGUCCAGUUUGGUAUGAGGCUUGGUGGACAGGAAUUGAGCACAUAGAGAAGGGCAAGACAGAGAUCGCCCGACUGGAAGAAGAGUGCAUGUUUCUGGUCCGGAGUGUUUUAGCAGAGCCAUCAGGGCUGCAAAGAUCCCUCCCAACUUCAGGUUGGCGACUGGGGUCAGUAAGUUCACUGGUGAAUCAAAGCCUGACACCUGGCUUGAGGACUAUCGAGUGGCUAUGCAGAUCAGUGGAGGAAACGAUGAAGUGGGCAUGAAGCAUCUGCCCCUGAUGCUUGAAGGGUCGGCUAGAGCUUGGUUGAAUCAGUUGACCCUGAGCAGUAUUUUCAGCUGGGAGGAGUUGGCUCAAGUGUUUGUCAGAACGUUCGAGGGCACGUGCAAAUGGCUAGCAGGAUUGGCAGAAUUGCAACACUGUGUGCAAAAACCGAAUGAAACUUUGAGGGAUUACAUCCAGAGGUGGUCCACUUUGCAUCACACGGUGAAGAAUGUGUCUCAGCACCAAGCAGUUUGUCCCUUCAAGGAGGGCGUUCGGUAUGGGAACUCAACCUGAAAUUCGGUCAGACAGGAGAUAUGUCUUUGACCCGAAUGAUGCAGAUAGCCACUCGAUACGCAAACGAUGAAGAAGAAGACCGGUCCGCAGCGGCAGGAGCAAACUAGUCGGCCAAGACACUGGAGGAGGUAAUUUCAAUCGGAAGCAGAAGUACAAAGCAGAACCUGCGGGCCUUGGAGAGGUUGCGGUCGCAACCCAAGGAAAAGCUAAAGGAAAACCUAAAGGGCCCUGGACCCCCAAGGAGGCGAAGGAUUCAACCGGGAAUUACGUGUUGGAUUUUCCAUGUCACAUUCACAUUAAGAUAGAUGAAGAGGGUAAUCUAAUCUAUCCCAAGCAUACCACUCGACAGUGUCGAGUCCUUAUACAGCAGUUCCGAGAAAAGCAACCCAGUGAAAAAGAGAAGGAAUCUAAUAAGGAUGAGGAUAAAGAAGAGGAUGAUGAAGGAUUUCCCAAUGUUAAUUCCACUUUGGUGAUCUUUGCUGACCUCGAAAGCAAAAGUCGACUGAAAGUCAUCAACAGGGAAGUAAACAUGGUCGCUCUGACGAUAAUGAAGUAUCUAAAAUGGUCAAAGACUCCUAUCACAUUCGACCAGUCGGACCACCCGCCGCACAUUGCCACCCCUGGGAGGAAAGCGUUGGUGGUCGAUCCGGUCAUUGGGGGCACCCGAUCGGCCAAAGUCUUGAUGGAUGGUGGCAGCGGAUUGAACAAUUUGUAUGCUAAGACCUUCUGAGGGAUGGGCAUCCCGAUGUCCAAACUCAGCGAGAGCAACAUGCGGUUCCACGGAGUUAUACCUGGAAAGAAAGCCGAUUGAGUCGGGCAGAUCACUCUUGAUGUGGCUUUUGAUGAUUCAAAGAAUUACCAUAAGGAAAAGUUGACAUUUGAAGUCGUGGAUUUUCAUGGUGCCUAUCAUGCUAUCCUGGGCAAAACUGUGUAUGCCCCGUUCAUGGCUCGACCGUGUUAUGUGUAUCUCAAACUCAAGAUGCCUAGCCCUAGGGGCGUGCUCACAGUCACUGGUAUUUGGUAGCGAGCAGAAGAGUGCUUCCAAAAGGGCUCGAAGAUUGCCGAUGAAGAGAUGGCAGCAAUAGAAAUGGAAGAAUACAAGAAGACAACAGAUCCGAGUGAUUUGUUGAGAGCUAAAAAGCCUGCUUUAGAGUCUGCAUUUAAGUCGUCUGGUGAAACAAAGUCAGUUCAUAUUCACCCGACUGAUCCCAAUGCUGCUAUGACUCAUAUAUCAACAACACUCGAUAGCAAAUAGGAAGAAGCGCUCAUCCAGUUCCUCCACGAGAACUGGGACAUCUUUGCAUGGAAACCUUCUGACAUGCCAGGUGUACCCAGAGAACUGGUCGGGCAUUGUUUGCGAGUCGACCCAAAAGCAAGACCUGUCAAAGAACACCUCCGAUGGUCCGCUGUGGAGAAAAGAAAGGCAAUUGGCGAGGAAGUGGCUCGGCUUUUGGCGGCUGAGUUCAUCCGAGAGAUUUACCACUCCGAGUGGCUCGCCAAUGUCUCCAUGGUUCCCAAGAAGGAUGAUUCACUCUGUAUGUGUAUUGACUUCAAGCAUAUUAAUUGGGCAUGCCCGAAAGAUCACUUCCCUCUCCCUCACAUCGAUCAAAUAGUCGACUCGACUGCGGGAUGUGAGCGGUUGUCCUUUCUGGACGCAUACUCUAGGUAUCAUCAGAUCCGAUUGUAUGGACCUGAUGAAAUAAAAACAUCUUUCAUCACCCCAUUCGGGUGCUUUUGCUAUGUUACCAUGCCCUUUGGUCUCAAGAAUGCUGGCGCCACAUUCAUGUGUAUGAUACAGAAGUGCCUGCUCACUCAAAUCAGUCAGAAUGUGGAAGCAUACAUGGAUGACAUCGUGGUUAAGUCGCGAAAAGGUUCCAACCUGCUGACUAACCUCACUGAAACCUUUGCCAAUCUGAGAAGAUAUGAUAUCAAGCUUAACCUGUCGAAGUGUACAUUUGGAGUUCCAGGUGGAAAGUUACUCGGUUUUCUUGUUUCUGGACGAGGUAUCGAUGCAAACCCAGAGAAAGUUGGUGCAAUACUCCGAAUGAAACGCCCUGUGCGCAUACACGACGUUCAGAAGCUUACUGGUUGUUUGGCCACUUUGAGUCGGUUCAUCUCUCAUCUCAGUGAAAAGGCAUUACUUCUUUACCGAUUGAUGAAGAAAUCGGAUAAGUUCGAGCGGACUCCUGAAGCCGACGCAGCGUUUGUAGAUCUCAAAACCCUGCUUUCCACCUAGACAGUGCUCGCUGCUCCAAUUAGCAAAGAGCCUUUACUGCUUUAUAUUGCAGCCACUGGACAAGUUGUCAGUACAGUACUCACGGUCGAGCGGGAAGAAGAAGGUGAAGCCUAUAAGGUUCAGCGCCCAGUGUAUUAUAUUUCUGAAGUCUUAACUCUGUCCAAGAAGAGAUAUCCGGCUUAUCAGAAGCUUGUCUAUGGAAUUUACUUGACUUCGAAGAAAGUGGCACAUUAUUUCUUAGAUCAUUCCAUCACAGUCGUCAGCGAUGCUUCAUUGUCAGAAAUUCUGAACAACAGAGAUGCAACUGGUUGAGUGGCAAAGUGGGCGAUUGAACUCCUUUCGUUGGAUAUCAAGUUUGAGGCAAAGACAGCAAUCAAGUCCCAAGCAAUAGCAGAUUUCCUCGUCGAGUGGAUUGAACAGCAGCAACUGACUCAAGUUCAGUCGGAACAUUGGACUAUGUUUUUGAUGGAUCCAAGAUGCUAAACGGUUCUGGUGCUAGAGUAGUUCUGGUAUCUCUGUGAGGCGACAAACUCAGGUAUGUCCUUCAGAUUCACUUUGAUUCCUCCAACAAUGAAGACAAAUAUGAAGCACUUCUAUAUGGGUUGCGAAUGGUGAUUUCACUCGGCGUCCGUCGCCUAAUGGUCUACGGUGACUCGUAUUUGGUGGUCAAUCAAGUGAUGAAAGAGUGGGAUGUCAGAAUUCCAGCUAUGACUGGUUAUUGCAAUCCAGUAAGAAAGCUAGAAAAGAAGUUUGAAGGCCUAGAGCUCCACCACAUUCCCCGACUGAAGAACCAGGCAUCAGAUGACCUGGCAAAGAUAGGUUCCAAGCGAGAGCCUAUUCCCAGCAAUGUGUUUUUGGAGCAUCUUCACACACCAUCAGUUCAAGAGGAUCCCUUCACAGAAGAACCCCCACAGCCCAAGAGUUCUAUUGAUCCGACUGAAGUUGAAGUCCCAGCCGUGGUCGACUUAGUCAUGGAGGUUUUUGUCGUCAUUCCUGACUGGACAGUACCAUAUAUUGCAUAUAAUCUCAAGAAAGAACUUCCAGAAGACAACAAUGAAGCAUGACAGAUUCACUACAAAAAAUAGACACAUCUGUGACAUUUUGGGCCGAACGAAAAAAAAUUCUGUCAUACUUAUGACACUUCUAUGACGAUAAUUGUGACAAAACCCGGUAUCAUCAUAGAUGUGGUGGGGUCCUACUUCUAUGACAGAAAAUGGGCUUUUCGUCCUGGGCGGGCCGGAGACGCAGCUGCAUGACAUUCUUUGGGAUGUCCAUGACGGAAAAAAAUGUGGUAGAAGCGAGGGCGAGGAAAAUAUCGGGGUGUUCCCGGUAACAGUGGGUGUUCGGGGCCGUGCGAUGCGCGUUUCUCUCGUACACACACGCGCGUGGGUGUGAGGCGUUGUGCUCUGACUGUACCCGAGCGAUUGCACUGCAGGCCACACAUUACUGAACCCGAGCGAUCGAUCGAUGGCUGUUAACUGAACCUGAUCGAGCGAUUCCUUCGCUAUUGCUACUAACUGAAGCCGAUCGAUGCUGCCUCUGGCUGAACAGUGAGCGUUGCCGGGGGGUUUGGAUGAACAGUUCCCGGUGGGGGUGGAUGAACAGGACCCCGUGGUGUUGCCUCUCGAUGAACAGUNNNNNNNNNNNNNNNNNNNNNNNNNNNNNNNNNNNNNNNNNNNNNNNNNNNNNNNNNNNNNNNNNNNNNNNNNNNNNNNNNNNNNNNNNNNNNNNNNNNNNNNNNNNNNNNNNNNNNNNNNNNNNNNNNNNNNNNNNNNNNNNNNNNNNNNNNNNNNNNNNNNNNNNNNNNNNNNNNNNNNNNNNNNNNNNNNNNNNNNNNNNNNNNNNNNNNNNNNNNNNNNNNNNNNNNNNNNNNNNNNNNNNNNNNNNNNNNNNNNNNNNNNNNNNNNNNNNNNNNNNNNNNNNNNNNNNNNNNNNNNNNNNNNNNNNNNNNNNNNNNNNNNNNNNNNNNNNNNNNNNNNNNNNNNNNNNNNNNNNNNNNNNNNNNNNNNNNNNNNNNNNNNNNNUGUACCCGAGCGAUUGCACUGCAGGCCACACAUUACUGAACCCGAGCGAUCGAUCGAUGGCUGUUAACUGAACCUGAUCGAGCGAUUCCUUCGCUAUUGCUACUAACUGAAGCCGAUCGAUGCUGCCUCUGGCUGAACAGUGAGCGUUGCCGGGGGGUUUGGAUGAACAGUUCCCGGUGGGGGUGGAUGAAUAGGACCCCGUCGUGUUGCCUCUGGAUGAAGAGGACCCCGAUCGAUCGAGCCGGUUGGGGAUGGAUGAAUAGGACCACCCCGUGGAGGGCUGGAUGAACAGUAGACUGUGGAGGGCUGGAUGAACAGUAGCCCGUGAAGGGGUGGUUGAACAGGAGCCCGAGGAGAGGGCUGUUGAAUAGUAGCUGGUGGAGUAGCGCGCGGUGGAGGCUGGAAGAACAGGAGCCCGUGGAUGAACAGACGCAGGUGGAGGCUGGAGGAGGUCGACGGUGGAUGAACAGUAGCCCGUGGAGUCUGGAGGGGGUCAAUAGUGGAGAUGAACAGUAUCCCGUGGAGUCCUGUUUUGCGGUAAGCCACACCCCUCCCGAUGAUCAGGACCCCCGUUUCGACCAUAACGCUCCAACACAAGUAUGUUUCCUCCGUUUUGCGGUACGCCACACCCCUCCCAAUCAACAGGACUGCCGUUUCGACAGUAGGAGGUCAGUUUCCUCCGUUUUGCGGUAUGCCAGACCCCUCCCGAUGAACAGGAUCCCGUUUCGAACGUGGCUGGUCGAACACAAGGCCGUUUCCUCUGUUCUGCGGUACGCCAGGCCUCGUUUCCAUCAGAUGUUCCGUCCAAGCCCUCCCGAUGAACAUGACGACGCAUUCCGUUUCGACCCAGCCAGUUGGCUCUCCAUGAACACGACGACGACGACAUUGUUUCUUCUUUCCGACUUUGCCAUGUACACGAGCCCUGGUCAUACGUACGCCCGAGUAGGCGUUCGAGACACCGCCCGUAUGUACGUACAUGGCCGUAUUUACUUUCUUGCACCCUGGCCGUUGUACAUACAUGUACUUGCUAUGUGCGCGCCUCUACAUCGACCAGUAUGUACGUACACGUUCGCGACCAGAAUGAUAAUGCAACGUACCCUUCGACCAGGUGGGCCCCGACUGUCAGGCACUUCCUUGCAUGUGAAGAUGUAGCUGGUGGGUCCUGGCAGUCAGGGGGGCGAAUCGUUUUUUUGCCCGGACACACUUUAUUGCAUGCGAAGAUGUAGCUGGUGGGUCCCAGCAGUCAGGGGGAAAUGUUUUUUUCAUGAAAUACAGUGGCCCGUCUAGUGGGUCCCAGCUGUCAGGUGGAGGAAUAAUUAUUUUGCACGUAAUAAGGGGGCACUUCCUUGCUGCGGCCGUGGACCCAGCUAUCAACGUCUCCACAUACAGUACUCUUCCGAUGGAAGUCGUUGCUUGACUACGUUGACCACGCCGCGCCGAGAGCACCAGGGCGGUGGACGACGGGGAGGCCUAGGAAGGGGACGACGUGGAGCCGGGGAAGAGGCGGCAGUGGAAGCCCGCGCGGAGAGGAGUACGAGGGUUCACUGGUUCGGCUGCGGUGUGAGGCUGCUGUCGCCACAGAAUAACAGGGGGUGUGGGUGAGUAGAGGGAUGGCCUGGCCAGCGGUGGGAGUAGUAGGGGGCGGUGAGGCCUCCGCGGCAUCGCAUCCGGCCAUGGGAGGCAGGAGGACGAGGCACGACCGAUGCUUGUUUGGGCGGCUGGAGCAAGAAGACCAGAGGUUGAAGAAGCACUACGGGCGUUGGAUGGACAUCGUACGGUCAAUGGAGUUUGAAUCAUGCGUAUUGACUAAGUUAAGAAAGCCCUCUGUCCCCGUCAACUUAGUAGGCCCACAAGUCAGCCUCCCACUAUACUGGGUCCUAGCUAGCAGGGGGUAUUCAUUUUUUUGUGCGUAAUAAGAAGGCACUUUCUUGCAUGCGAAGAUAUAGCUGGUGGGUCCAAGCUGUCAGCGGCGGUAACAUUUUUUUGUGAAAUACAGCGGCCCUUUCGGUGGGUCCCAGAUGUCAGGUGGAGGAAUCAUUAUUUUGAGCGUAAUAAGGAGGCAUUUCCUACAUGCGGCCGUGGACCCAACUGUCAGCAUCUCCAGGCACAGUCCACUUCAGAUGCAUGUCAGUCAUUGACCACGUUGACCAGGCCGCGCCAAGAGCAUUAGGGCGCGCGGUGGAUGACGGCGAGGCCUAGGAAGGUAACGACACGGAGCCAGGGAAGACUCGGAAGUUCUUUCCCACGCGGAGGGGAGUACGACUGUACGAGGGUUUACUGGUUCGUCUGCCGUCGCCAGAGAAUAACAGCAGGUGUGGCUGAGUACAGGUGGGGCGGUGAGGCCUGCGCGGGAAGGAGGGAGCAGGAAGUCCCGUCAGCGCUUGUUUGAGCGGCUGGAGCAGGAAGAGCAGAGAUUGAAGAAGCACGAUAGCCGUUGGAUGGACAUCCAAAAGUCACUGCUUGUGCGUCAACCUUUUUUUAGGAAAGCCUCAAAUCUGUGGAAAACAGCAUACAGCCCAUCUUCCAUGAUUUCUAAUAAUUUACAGCCCAUUUGCUAAUUCUUAAGUGUUUUUUUGGAGCCCAUAUUCUUUUUGUUAGCAUUACAGCCCAUAUUGUGGCCACGAUUAUAAAAUUAUAUGAAAUUUUGCAUAUUUCGGUGCGGUCCGAACUGUUUUUAAUCCGGAAAUUUCGAGUCACAUUCAAACUGAUUUUAAAAAUAAAUAUAUAUAUCAAUAUAAAAUCCAACAAAUUAUACAUGCAUAAAAAUCAAUGCAAUUUAAAAUCUCGAAAUGAAAAAAAGAAAUAUGAAACUAAUUGCCGGUUUGAUGUGUUUUCAAAAUGUACAACCCAUUUCUCAUUACUGAUAGGCCAUUUUCUCGGCCAGCCGAAUGAAGCUCUCCUUGUCUUGAAAGAUUUGUAGCCGAACAAGCGUGACAAAGCGACUUACUUGGCAAAUCACAAAAAAACUGGGCUGUGGCCAUGGACCCAGCUGCGGUCGUGGACCCAGCUGCCAACCUCUCCACGUACAGUAGUCUUCCGAUGGAAGUUGGUCGUUGACCACAUUGACCACGCCGCGUCGAGAGCACCAAGGCGGUGCACGGCGGCGAGGCCUAGGAAGGGGACGAUGCGGAGCUGGGGAAGACGCAGCAGUGGAUGCCCAUGUGGAGAGGAGUAUGAGGGUUCACUGCUUCAGCUGCGGUGUGAGGCUGCCGUCGCUGCAGGGCCUGGCUAGCGGUGGGAGUGGUAGGGGCGGUGAGGCCUCAACGGUCGCACAGCCGGCCAUUGGAGGCAGGAGCAGGUGGUCUCGCCGAUGCUGGUUUGGGUGGCUAGUGCAAGAAGAGCAGCGAUUGAAGAAGCAGCAGGACCGUUCGAUUCAAAUCCAACGGUUACUGCUACUAGAAUCAUUUGUUGACUAAGUUGACAAGCCCUACGUACGCGUCAACUUAGUAGGCCCACAGGUCAGCCUCCCAACCGGUGCGCCCCAGAUGUCACUGGGAGGAAUCAUUUUUUUCGCGUAAUAAAAAGGCAGUUGACUACGUGCGGCUAGCCCAGCGGAGGGAGUAGGCUGGGCCGGGGAAGCCUGCCCGGCAUCACAGUGGGCCACAAGAGGAGGGAGCAGGCAGUCCCGCUGGCGCUAGUUUAGGCGGCUGGAGCGGGAAGAUCAGAGAUUGAAGAAGCACGUCGGCCGUUGGAUGGACAUCCAACAGUCACUGCUGCUAGAAUUGUGUGUUGACUGACAAAGCCUUGCGUAAACAAGUCAGCCUCGAAAUCUGUGGCAUGUACAACCCAUUUUCUAUUUUUUUAUAAUUUUUACUCAUUUUCUAAUUCAUACGGAAUUUAUUGCAGCCCGUUUUCCAUUUUUAGAAUUGUUGCCCAUUUUUGGUCAGUAGCAGGGUUAAAUAAAAAUUAACUAAAUAUGUGGGAAAUUUUGAAAUUUUGCAAUUUUUUGCUGGGGAAAAAUAUUCUUAAUCCAAAAAUUAGUAGCCAUAGUAAAACAAAUUUAAAAAUAAAUUAGUACUAUGUCAUGUUAAAUCCAAUGAAAUACUCCCUCCGUCGCAAAAUUCCUGUCUUAGAUUUGUCUAAAUACGGAUGUAUCAAGUCACGUUUUGGUAUUAGAGACAUCCAUAUCUAGACUAAUCUAAGACAAGAAUUUUGGGACAGAGGGAGUAUAAGAUAUCAGUGAAGAACAAAACCAAAAAAAGAAACUAAUAUCCCAUUUGCUAUAAUUUUUUUGGAAUUUUCAACCCCUUUUGAUAUUACUUUUAAUAGACACUGACCAUACUCUUUGGCCAGGCCGGAAUGCAUCCCUCCUCGUCUUGAAAUAUUUGUAGCCCAGUAAGUCGGAGAAAACAAAUAGGCCUAGCUUGGGUAUUCUUCAAAAAGAAAUACUGGGCUACCUAUUUUCCAAAAGAAAAAACUGUUGUGCUAGUCAUGUUGUUAGACGGGCCACAGAGACCGCACAACCCAGUUUAUAGCCCGCUCCUCCGAAUUACUACUAAAAAAAGUUGUGCAAUUCUAUCGUUAAUUGACGAUAUGUUGAAAAUGAUGUGAGUUCCAGAUAUCAGCAGGGUGGAUUAGAGUAAAAAAACGAGCCGUUCAUCUGAGUAGUAAAAGAGGCGCUUGCGUGUGUUCAGGAGUGGACCUGGUGGGUCCGUACUAUCAUACUCACAACUACAGUCCUCUCCCGAUUCACUAUGUUGAUAGGGACUGUUUCAAAAAAAAACUAUGUUGACAGGGUCGGACGGCGGCACCGCGGCAAGCACACCAAGGUGGAGGAUAAAGUGUUGUCGCCAAUGUGCUGGGCUGGGUUGCACAUUCUUAUUGAAAAAUAAAAAUGGACCGGGUCUAUUUACGACAUUUACUACGAUUUGCAUGGGUCCGCUGGUUGCAGGAAGAAAAUGCUGGGAGAAAGAAGACUGGUCGCUAUCUUUGCCGAAGAAUAAUAUCGACUGAAUGUAACGACACUAUCAUAGGAAAUAUAUCCUCCUGCUAAAUCAUGAAUUUAAAGAACUGGUGCAUGAGCAUUUAGCUUUAUUUAUUUAUUUACUUAUUUAUGUUUAGGGGACCAUGAGCAUGUACUUGGGCCUUAUUCAUGCGAGAGCCUCCCUUCUAGUUAAUUAUGGGCUUCUGUAUUGGGCCUUCAUCAGUGGGCUGCAUGUUAUCAACAAGUGGAAAAUGUGUUCCAUACGAAAAAUAGUAUGCACUACGUACGAUACGGGGCACUAAAGGAUCGAACCAUGCAACGACUUCCAAAAGAUUGUGUUUGUCGUUCUAACAACACAUUUAUUCAACCAACAGACAAAAUAUACUACUGAUUGUACAUUAAAAACAGCAGUAGCAACAACCAGGGCUGGGGGUGCAACAGAAGCACUAAGCAUGCCAGAAGAGUGAAGACGCAACUCUCUCUUCCAAACCAAACAUCAGCCAUCAUUACAAAAGGGCUACCAAAAAAGAACAAGUGUAUGCAUCAAACUAAGUAAAGAUCUACUACACCAAGUGUACGCAUCUAACUAACUGGCUUAGUUAGACGUUACUAUUUAUUAAGCUGUGGAGAUUGGCUGACGGCUUGAACCAGAUGGGUGCCUGACGGGAGAAACUCCAGCCAGCAGGUCGAAGUCUGAUACUUGCGACCCUCUCUCCUACUUUGGGCUAUAGAGCGUGGCGGCACAUAUCAGGGUAUGGUGCAUGCAGAGACGCAUGGUAUGCUGUGUACACACAGUUUUCCCUGAUGAACGAAAUCGCGCUGCCAUCAUGAUCCUUGCCGUCGGUUAUCUCUUGGUUAAUUGGAUAAUUCAGUCCGACAAACAGGGAGCAUAUACCAAGGCUACUUACGAACCUCCAGUCAAAAAUUCCUGAAGGCCAAGAGAAGCUGGGAUCCUGCUCCAAGACCUUGCAGUGACUGUGAUUGUAUUCCGUGAAACAACACGUCCGGUACACGUGAACGAUCAUCAAUCAUUCGCCAUCGUCUGAUCGAGCCAGGAACCACCUGCAACUGCCAUGCCACUUUUCUUUGAAAGGUUCUAGGAUUAGGAAGGGUAGGGACACCAGGCGGCCUACAACAUCAUAUCAAGUUGGAGUCAAACAACCCUCAAAAGAAGUUGGAGUCAAAUAAAAAAGGGCUCUUGAUGUAGUCAAUCUUAAGAACAACAUGUUAUGAGCAUGAAUAUUUUUUUCAGUAAAUGUUGACAGUAAUAUAAGCAAGCCAUCAUGAUAUCAUAGGAAAGUAACAUACUGCUGUAACAGCCAUUUGUGGCGAUGACUGUAGUAGGCCAGCAAUACGUCCAACCAUAGAAGGAGUCGACAGCGUAAAUGAAGUCCUUGUGUUCAAUGGCAUCAGAGAACCAUGGAGGAUGUAUGAUCCCGCGAUGGACGUGCAGAUUUAUCCACUUACCGCAGUGAUCUAUUAGAUAGGCGAGACCACGGUUGAAGAACGCAAUUAGCCUGAAGUCUUUAUAAUUCGCAGAUCUUGUGGGCACUUGGCAGAUUACAACCUUGAGCAAAUCAAACUUGGUAUCAUGUUGGCUACUAUAAGAUUCCGAGUAUUCUGGGCCGCGGUGCCAAAGCAGUGCAGUGUUAAUCGAAGGAAGGGGGAUCAAUCACCGGGUGUAGACUUCCACGAGCAUCCAGCUACCGCGGCCGCAGCCGUCGAUGAGCACCGUCCAAGACACGUGUUCAUGCCGACCCAGUACAUACCAUUAAUGUAGUGGAGGGUGACGGGGAUCGGAUCACAGUCAAGGGGGUUGAUGCUUGCCACCCUACGAUCGUUAUGCUGCGUGACACACCGUUUCUGAAGAUUAGGCGGCAUCAGCAAGCAAGAAGCUGGCUUAAAAAGCUCCGGCCUGAGGGCUUUGAGUAAACAGUACAGCCCCGACAAGCACGCAGCGAGCGGCAUGGUACUGAGAUUGUCCACACACGAAACAAUAAGCUUGAUUACCUCUGUGGGGAGCGAAUUCCAGCCACUCUUUCGGCGAACGCUGCUCGGUUCUGCCAUUGUUAGUGCUUGGGUUUCGGACAAGGGGGAGGUGCCUUAGCAGGGAUGGAAGAGCGGACAAAGAUGGAGAAGCGAAUAUGUGCUACAGGAAGUGGACAGGUGAUGAUGACUACAGCACGCCGCUUGACUUACGAGACACAUACCAGCAGCGUAGGGUCAUAUCGAAGUCAAACAACUUGCAUGAGUGAUCACAGUACUGGUCCAAUCAUUGUUAUAUCAAAAGUAAACUAUUUGGAGUGAAACAUAAGAUAUUUUUAGUGAUAUGUAUAUCAAAAGUAAACUGUUUUCUUUCAAAUUUGUGAAUAUCUAUUAUUCUACUUUGGAUCCGUUGCAACAGACGGACUCAUUGUUAUAAAGGUUUAUCUCUUGCAUUCUCCGCAACCAACACCUAGUGUACUUGAAAGUGCUAGUGGUCGACUAGAGGGGGGUGAAUAGGCGAUUUUUAUGAAAGUCUUCAAAACAUGGAAGUUUCGAAGAAAAAUGAUAGAAAUAAACCUAUUACCAUGCAGCAAAAGGUAGACUACACUAAGCAAGCCAUAGUCAAGUAUUCAAUGAAGUGAAAGCACAAAGACUAAUAGCAGCUAGGUAGUAUAGAUCAGGCAUGAAGAUAGUGUGAAGCCAAUCAGAACAAACAUUUACUCAGUGAAGACAAAAGAUAAUGCAAUCAUACAAUGACUUCACCAGGGCCAACAGUAAGUAAAGGAAUGGGAAGGACGAAACCAGUGACCCGUUGAAGACAAUGAUUUGUUGUACCAGUUCCAGUUGCUGUGACAACUGUACGUCUGGUUAGGGAGGCUGAGAUUCAACUCAGAAGACCGCGUCUUCACCAUAUUCCCCUUGAGCUAAGGACACCUAGUCCUCACCCAAUCACUCUGGUAAAUCUUCAAGGUAGACUCCCAAACCUUCACAGACUUCGUUCACCGGCAAUCCGCAAUGACUCUUGGAUGCUCAGAACGCGACGCCUAACCGGCUAGAGGAUUCACAGUCCUCAAGUGUAAUAAGUCUUCAGAUCACACAGACAGGAAGACUUCAGUGAUGCCUAACACUCUUUGGCUCUAGGUGGUUAGGGCUUUAUCCUCGCAAGGAAUUCUCUCUCAAAGGCUUCGAGGUGGGUUGCUCUCAAACGACAAAAUCCGUACACUAACUCUGAGCAGCCAACCGUUUAUGGUUGUAGGAGGUGGGCUAUUUAUAGCCACUAGGCAACCCGACCUGAUUUGUCCGAAAUGACCAUUGGUCACUAAGGAACUGACACAUGUUGCAACGGUCAGAUUUCAAACACACACGGCAACUUUACUUGGGCUACAAGCAAAGCUGACUUAUCCAACUCUGGAUAAGAUUGCUCUCAUUGUCUUCGCUCGAAGACAUAGGAUUCUAGUUAAGCAUCACUUCAGUCAUUCUGACUGGUUCUCUUGGACCCCACUUAACAGUACGGUGGUUCCUAUGACUCAACAAAGAAGAAAAAGAACGACGAAACAUCUAAGUCUUCGUGCUCCAUAGUCUUCACACAAUGUCUUCUCUUGUCAUAGUCUUCAAUGUGAAUGUCUUCACAUACCACCUUUGACUUCAAUGUCUUCAUACAUUUUUAGGGGUCAUCUCUAGUAGGAAAACCGAAUCAUUGAGGGACUACUACAUGUGUUAUCCUACAAUUCUCACAAACACAUUAGUCCCUCAACCAGGUUUGUCGUCAAUACUCCAAAACCAACUAGGGGUGGCACUAGAUGCACUUACAAUCUCCCCCUUUUUGUUGAUUGAUGAAAAACUGGUUGAAUUUUCAACGGGGAUAAAAGUAUGUGAAAUGUAAAGGAUUUAGGUAUUGUCUUCAUAACUAGCAAAGGCUCCCCCUGAAGAUGUGCAUAUAAGUAAUUUUGCUUUUGGAAUGCAAAUGCACAUGGCAGGUUCUUCUUGUGGAGAUCCUCUUCAACUUAUGACGACAAUUCAUCAUGCAUGAAAGGUAUGUGAAGAUAAUGACAUGCAUAAUGAAAAAUGGACGUUUGCAGAAUGACCUAAGUGCGGAAGUUAUCAUCGCACAUGCGGUAUUUAUCAUCGCAUCAUAGAAUAGCAAAUAAGUAGCAGACGACCAUCGAGUUUGAGUGUUACAACUCAAAGAAACAAUGUAUCAAAACGCGAGAGUUGUAAACACUAGGCAAAAUAUAAAACCACCGCCCAUAUGGACCCGUUUGAAGACUAUCAAACUCAUAUGCUUCUCCCCCUUUUGUCAGUAAGGACCAAAAAUAUUUGAAGACAUAGAGAACAUACUCGUUCCCAUGAGGAGUUGGUGAAGCAGCAGGGUCGUUGGAGUUGGUUGGCGGUGCAGACGAACUCGGUGCAGUGGUGAUUCACGCUGAAGGUGGUGAAGUAGCAUCGUCUUCAUCAUUGAUGACACGUGCAUUCAUUGUUGCAGCAGAGGAGGAGAACUCAGAGUCUUCAAGAGACGGAGUACGCCACAGCAAGGUCCUUCUCGGAGGUGUGGAGUCAAACUUGAAGCGUUCAGAGAAACGAUCAUCUUGAAGAUCAUCUUCAGAACACAUAAGCGUCAGCCCUUUCCAUGUACGCCGACAAGUUUCAUGGGCGACAAAAACAUUCUUGGUGGCAAGGUUGCGAAUCCUGUUUACGUCCACGAAGAGGCUUUGCAUUUGGCGCUUCAGCCAGUCAUGAUGCUUAUCCUGUUUCUGAUGAAGGGCAACCAGAAGCUCUCGGUCAUUGAGGACACAAGAUCGCUUCUUGGGCCGUUGUGCAAUGGUGCUUUCAGUGGCUUCAGUGAGGGCAUGAUGAGGUGGACGGGUAGUACCAGCCAGAGGAUAAACACGAGAGACUGCUGGGUCGCCUUCAAUGUGUUGUGAGAAACUUUGCUUAUCAGCAUUCUGAAGACUAAGGGGCUCCUUGGCAGGCUCUGGAUAGAUGGCUUCAACUAACAUAUCGACGUCAGGUAGAAAAAUCUGAUGAUUGCGAGAAGAGGGCUGAUAGGUGACACCUGAGUGUAGUUUGAUCAGACGCAUAAUCCAUGGGGCGUAAAACUUCAAGCCAAAGAGAUCAGAUCCUGAUGCAGCAAGUUGGCGGAUGAAGAAAUCUUGUGCAUUGAAGCUUUUGCCGUGAAGAAUAUGGAAGACCAAAGUAUUCAUUGCACCUUCCAGCUUGCAUGUGGAGAAUGUCCUUUGAUGGGCCAGAACUUCGCCUUAUAAUGUGAUAGAUAGUGCGUGGCAGAUACUCAAGGUCUUCAACAAAGAACUCCUUAGGAUAUUCAACAUCUGGAGGCAAAGGCUUCAUCAUGCUAAGCAUCUGACUCAUGUUGGGUUCAGGCUUGUGAAAAAUGCUUUCCAUAGCAGCACUGUGAAGCUGACAACCAGGUUCAUAAAGAUCUCCUGGAGUGGGCAGGCCAGUGAGCUCAAUGAUAUCAAAGGCUUUGGCUUCAUGAUGAACAUUGCCUGUCAUGCACUCAAGGGCCCAAGUCUUCGGAUCCCUGUUGUAGCCACGAAUAUGAAGAGUGGCAUAGAAUUGGAGCAGCAAUUCUUCGUUCCAGUGCUCCUUGUCAGUGACGAACUGCAACAAGCCAGACUCUCUGAAGCAAUCCAGCGCUUCUUCCAAACAGGGCAGACCAAUUAUGGCUUCAGUGUCAAGACGCAUAUGGGGAAAAAUGCGACCUUGAUUGUAUAAGAUGCAUGAGUAAUAACUGCACUGCUGAUAGCUCCAGAAUCGAUCAGAAGAUAUUCUUGCCUUAGAGUAGGGGUUCUUGGCGCUAUUGAAGAAGGUGUUGUGUGCUUUGAAGCCAUUGAUAUUGAAUGAUCCGGGUGCAGAUGCAGUGCUUGGAAACCUAGGCAGCCUUGGCAUUGGCUUCUAAACUUGAGGCCUGCGCUCGAUGUGAUAGUCAAAUUGGGGACCAGCAGCAGGUGGAGGAACAAGAAGAGGACAUUUGACAGUGAUAAGCUGACCAUAGUUGUAUGCUUGCUCAAUAGUAUGUGGCCUUGGUGGCGGAACAGGAGCAGUGGCAUCAACAGAGGCGUCAGGCUGCAUAUCUGUUGCGGGUGCAUCAUUGGCUUCACUGGCUUCUGGCACAGUGUUAGGUGUAGGCUCCACAUUGUCUUCAGCCAUGACCACGUCAUUGGCUUCAUUGGUGUUAGUGGUGGCAGCCUCAGGAUUCUCAACCUCCACUUGAGGAGCUGGAGGGUCGGGCACUGACACGUUCACUUCAGGAACAACUUCUUCAGUGAUGGGGGAAGUAGGGACACGUUCUUCUGCUUGUUUUUCUUCGGCUGAUGCAGCCAGCUUGUCUUCAGCAACUUUAGCUUCAGACUUGGAGACGUUCACAAUAGGAGUGGCUUCUGGAAACACCUGACGUGCAACAGAUUGGUGGUGCACUUCUCCUUCUGAAACGCUUGAAAGAGGGACUUGGGGCCUUGGUCCUUUGCGAAGCCUGCGUAACGCUGGCGACGCCUGUGAAGAUGGAGUUUGCUGGGCCUCAAAGCCAUCCUCUUCUUCUUGCACUGGUGGGGUGACUUGUUGUUGGGGAGUACUAGGGCUUUCUUGUUGUUGUGGGUGAUCAGCCCAUGAUGCAUCCUGAGCAAUUGGUGUUAGAGGACGACCAAUGCUGAUGAGUUCACUGCUUGUGAGAACAGGCGAUGAUACCAAGUUGUGCUCGAUCUGAGGAAGAACUACAUCACCUUCAACAUUGUCAUGGUGACCAAUGUCUUCAGCAGCGGUGGGGUCAACUACUGGAAAGUCUUCAGCUUCAGGAGCCUCUGUGGAAGCAGGCUCAUGAACUAUCAUCCUUCAUUCUUGAUGUGAAGAGUUAGGACGAGCAACCGAGAUGGGCUCGACAACAAGGGGCUCUGUGGGAGCAGCCCGAUCUUUCUUGGUUUUGCGCUUCUUCUUGGAGGGAGCGACAUCAGAAGCGUCAGGAUUUUUCCUCUUUCUGGCUUCAGCCUCGGCAGCCCUUGUCUUCUUCAGUUCUGAAGCGGUGGACGUGACCUUUGGCUUCAAGCCGGACAUGCUGCUUGGGAAGACAAUGCGAGGUUCGUCCUGCCUUGAAGGUGCUGAUUUGUCAGUCGAUGGCUUCUUCUUCUUCUUUGCAGCCAUUCUGGGGUCGAUGCCAGGACGCCGAAGAGCCUUGCGCUUCUCAGCUUCAUUGUAGGCUUGCACGCACUUGUCAGCCAGACUCUUCAUGCGCUCACGAGAGCCUUUAGCUUCUUGUCGUUUCCUGAGAAAGGCUUCCUUGAGCUCGUGCCGCAUAACCUUGAAGUUUUUGACAUGUUGCACGCUGAGCUUUUCCAUGUUCUUCUUGAACUAAGCUUUCUCAUAGUCGAUCUUUUGCUUCAGUUCAACGAUGCGCUGAGCUAGAGCUAGCUCAGAAGCAAUGGCGCCAGUGAAAGAGACGCUGAGGCCAAUUGGAAGUUGCAGAUCGUCAAAGCUGAGAUUGGGGGUUUCAAACCAGUCAUCAAUGAAGUUGUGGAUGAUUGCCACAUCAAAGAGAGGCAAAUCAUUGAAGAUUUCUGCUCCUUCCUUGCUCUUAAUCAGUUGCUCAAGAGCGUCAUCUGCAAGAUCUUCAUCACUGGACAGGUCAAUGUGUUCGUCUCGCAGAAUGGCAGCAGGGGUCAAUGCCUGAUCAGUAUUCUUUUUCAUCUCCGUCUUCUUGGAGAUACGUGAUAGAUCUUCAGACUGCACACUGUCUUCAGGAGGUGAAGUAGCCAGUGGUUUCACACGUGAAGCUUUUGGAGGAGCAGCUGACUUUGAAGCUCUAGCCUUCUUUUGCUUCUGCGGCUUUGGAGCAGGAGCUGGGGCUUCAUCAGUGUCGGCAUCAUCAUCAGAAUGAUCUACUUUGGCACCUUGAACAAAAAUGUGAGUGAUAAGACCAUCAAGGUUGUAGAAAGGUUCGAUGAUAUUGUGUUCAGCAUUGCGUGUGCCGUCAGCCCAUGGAGCAGAAGGACCAGGGUUGAAGUCUAGUCCCAAUGACUUCUUGUUUUCCUUGGCCGAUGCCUUUGCAUGCUGGAAGUUGCACUUGAAGAGAUUAUCGUCACGACACUAGAGCAGUGAUGAUGGGUCGGCAUUGUCAGGCUGUGGUCCACGUACCAUACAGGGAUAGAAACCCUGAGCAAUAACUUCAGCUCUGGUCUUGGGUUGAAGGUUUCGAAAGAGAAUUUCACCCCAAGGAUUCUUGAGGGCAUUCUUCUCAGCAUACUCCUGGGUCACAAACUUGUAUUUGAACCAUUGUUCGGCCCAAUAUCUUCGAAUCCAUUGGAUUCGUGUCUUGCGCUGAUUGUAAUCCUCUUCUGGAUCUUUCUUGUACAGCUCUGAGAGGUCAUCAGGCAGAUCUCUUGAUGUUCUCCCUCGACGAUGUCUACCACCCUUCCUUGCUGAUUUCUCUGUAGCCAUGAACUUCGAACUGAAUGACUUCAACACGUUCAAAGGCUUCAAAGGCUUCCGCUUGCUGGUCAAAUAGGAACUGGCUUCGGGAGAGUUAAUGUGAUGCUGUAAGAAUUCUGCAAACGAAUGCAGACUAUGAGAACCAAGGGAUUCUCCCACGGACAUGUACCAGUGACAGCAUUAGAGAUGCGAGGGAAGGGGAGAGGUCAUAUGCAUUCUCAGAAGAUUUUGAAGGUAAAUCAGUUUGAAGACAUUGACCUCAUGGUGCGAAGACAUUCACUUAUGUGUUUGGAGUUGGUUCCAGAUUUGUACGAAUCCAGGAAUAGGUACAAGUGAGGAAUCUAACUCAUUAUGAAGCUUAAGUGAAUAUACUAGGCAUUAUAUGAGAUACAGAUAGGAUAGAUCUAACAUUGAGUAGGCAGAAACCACUUUCGGUGAACAGGAUGAAUCUCCUAGGAUCAACAAGAUGGUAAAAAGAGAGUUUUAUUUACCACACGAUGAAAUGCUAGAUGGGAAGAGUAGGAGACCGAGCAGUUCAAUCCACCGUGCCCUAACUUGGCGACAGAGGACACCUACGGCGGCGGCAGAGAGGACGAAGACCGCGACCAGCGUGAGGACGACGUCGGUGAAGUCGCGGCAGUUAAGCGCUUCAUUGCCGGCAUCGUCGAGAGCUAGUGGUGGCGCUAGGGUUUUGUGCGAGAGUGGAAGAAGGGAUAACGACUAUGGUGAGGCAUGUAUUUAUAGGGAUAGGGACAGCACAGUGUUAUUACACAGGUGCCCCUGGCGAUUCACAUCUAAAGGACACGUGGCUAUCAUGCAACACAUCGGAGGUUGUUCCAUGUUCCCACGCACGCCUGGAUUGUCGGGUGGUCGUUCCCACUUCUCCGGGUUUCAGGUGAAAGGAUUUAGCAUUGAAAACGGAUUAACGUUUGUCUCUGUGUCUUCUGCUGACAAGGACGCAGAGAAGACAUUCGACGGUUUCAAUAGAAUGCAUAUGAUUUGGACAGAUAGAGGUUGAGAUAGAGAGCAUAGAGAGAUUAGGGUCCGAUCACAUUCACUUAGUUCAAAAGAUUCAACAAGGAAGACAUAGCUAUAAGUGAAUGCUGUAGAGGACAAACCACAAAUAUGUAUAUAUCAGAAGACAAUCAAAUCAGCAUAGUGAAGAUAAUCAUGAAGACAAGUUGAAAUUGAAGACAAUACACAUGUGAAGACAUAGCAAAUGUAACGCCAUGAGUAAAACACUUCAAACAGAAGAAUUUGGUGGUGGCGUUACCCACCGUAUAGGAAGUAUUAGACCCAGACACGGCGCAUAAUUAUCGUGGCGCUCUGAAGUCAAGUUCCACGUUAAUAUAUUCACACUCAGAAUGUAAGUCUUCAUUGAUUGAAGAUAUACUUUACUUCAUGUGUUGAACAUCUAUGUCAUCAACAUGCUUUAGUGUUAGGAUGUGUGCCUGAUCAUAGGACAUUUGAGGAUUCCAAGAUAUUUAGCUCACACCGUAACUUGCAAAACCUCUUCUCAUCCAAGGGCUUGGUGAAGAUAUCUGCCAAUUGCUCUUCAGUGUUGACGUCUAUGAUAUAAAUAUCUUCCUUCAUGACAUGAUCUCUGAGAAAGUGAUGACAAAUUUCAAUGUGCUUUGUCUUCGAGUGCUGAACUGGGUUGUUGGCAAUCUUGAUGGCGUUUUCGUUGUCGCAGUAGAGUGGCACUUGCUUCAGAUGAAUGCCAUAGUCUUUGAGUGUUUGCUUCAUCCAUAGAAGCUGGGCGCAGCAAGAUCCAGCAGCAAUGUAUUCAGAUUCAGAAGUGGAGAGAGAUACACAGUUCUGCUUCUUUGAAGACCAACAUACAAGUGAUCAUCCCAGAAAAUGACAUGUGCCUGAUGUAGACUUGUGAUCCACCUUGUCACCAGCAUAAUCAGCAUCCGAGAAUCCAACUAGAUCAAACUCUGAGCCCUUUGGAUACCAUAAUCCUAGUGUUGGGGUGUGAGCCAAAUAUCUGAGAAUUCGCUUCACAGCUAAGUGAUGCGAUUCCUUUGGUGCCGCUUGGAACCGGGCACACAUGCAAACACUAAGCAUGAUAUCUGGCCUAGAUGCACAUAAAUAAAGCAAGGAACCAAUCAUGGAGCAGUAUACCUUUUGAUCGAACUCUUUACCAUUGUCGUCGGGAUCUAGAUGAUGUUUUGUCGUGAAGCCUUUGCAAUCUUGCAUCCCAAAUUUCUUCAGGCAAUCUUUGAGGUAUUUCUCUUGAGAUAUAAAGAUGUCGCUGCGUUGCUGACGUAUUUGAAGACCAAGGAAGAACUUCAGCUCACCCAUCAUGGACAUCUGAUAUUGCUCUUGCAUCAUAUAUCCAAACUCAUCAGUGUAUUUCUGAUUGGUGCAGCCGAAGAUAAUGACAUCCACAUAUAUUUGGCACACAAACAGUUCACCAUCAUAUGUCUUCGUGAAGAGAGUGGGGUCGAGGGAACCAGGUUUGAAGCCUUUGCUCUUCAGGAAGUCUUUGAGUGUGUCAUACCAAGCCCGAGGGGCUUGUUUGAGGCCAUACAAUGCCUUGUUGAGCUUGUACACCAUGUCAGGAUGUUUUGGAUCUUCAAAGCCAGGCGGUUGUGCAACAUACACUUCUUCGUCAAUCUUGCCAUUGAGAAAAGCGCUCUUCACAUCCAUUUGAUGCAGAAGAAUGUUAUGAUGAUUUGCAUAGGCCAGCAGUAUGCAUAUGGCUUCAAGCCUAGCCACAGGAGCAUAAGUUUCAUCGAAGUCAAUCCCUUCAACUUGAGUGUAUCCUUGAGCAACUAGACGAGCUUUGUUUCUAACAACUUGACCAUGCUCAUCUUGCUUGUUGCGAUAUAUCCAUUUAGUGCCUAUUAUAUUGUGCUUACGAGGAUCAGGACGCUUAACCAGUUCCCAUACAUUAUUCAGUUCAAACUAUUGAAGCUCUUCUGCAUAGCUUGAAUCCAUUCAGGUUCCAUGAAGGCUUCAUCAACUUUCUUGGGUUCAGAUAUUGAGAUGAAUGCGAAGUGCCCACAGAAAUUUGCUACCUGUGUUGCCCUUGAGCGAGUGAGUGGACCUGGUGUAUUGAUGCCAUCAAUUAUUCUCUCAAUAUGUACUUCAUUUGCAACACGAGGAUGUACAGGACGAAGAUUUUGCUCUUGCUGAUCAUUUUCAUCAUUAGAAGGAUUGUCUUCAGGCUGAGCAUUGUCUUCAGGUUGAUCAGGUGCGGAGAUGAUAAGUUCCUCUUCAGUCUAAGCUUUAGAUGGUAUGAUUUCUCCAGUUCCCAUAAGUUUGAUUGAUUCACUGGAUGGAACUUCAUCUAGCACAUUUGGCAGGUGCUCUCUUUGCGAGCCGUUAGUCUCAUCGAACCGCACAUCCACAGUUUCAACCACUUUAUAGUGAGAGAGGUUGAAGACUCUGUAGGAGUGCGAAUCCUUUCCAUAUCCAAGCAUAAAACUUUCAUGUGCUUUCGGUGCAAAUUUUGAAGUGUGAUGUGGAUCCUUGAUCCAGCACGUGGCACCAAAUACUCUGAAGUAACUGACAUUUGGCUUCUUGCCAGUAAGGAGCUCAUAGGAUGUCUUGUUGAGAAGCUUAUGAAGAUAAACACGGUUGAUGAUAUGGCAUGCAGUAUCAAUGGCUUCAGGCCAUAAUUUUCUUGGAGUCUUGUAUUCAUCGAGCAUCGUCCGGGCCAUCUCAAUAAGUGUUCCGUUCUUGCGUUGGACGACGCCAAUCUGCUAUGGCGUGUACGGAGCUGAAAAUUCAUGUGUGAUGCCCAAAGUAUCAAGAGAUGUAUCUAGCCCAGUGUUCUUGAAUUCAGUGCCAUUGUCACUUCUCAUGUGCUUUAUCUUGACGCCAUAGUUGUUCAUGGCUCGAUUGGCGAAGCGUCUGAAGACAUCCUGCACUUCAGUCUUGUAGAGGAUUAUAUGCACCCAAGUAUAUCUUGAAUAAUCAUCAACAAUGACAAAGCCAUAGAGACAAGCAGUAGUAGUAAGAUUUGAGUAAUGAGUGGGACCAAAAAGGUCCAUGUGGAGCAGUUCGAAGGGUUGAGUCGUUGUCAUGAUUGUCUUCGAGGGAUGCUUGGCCCUCGUCAUCUUUCCUGCUUCACAGGCACCGCAUAAGUGAUCCUUCUUGAACCUGACGCCCUCGAUGCCUAUGACAUGCUUCUUUCUUGAAAGAGUGUGCAAGUUCCUCAUGCCAGCAUGCCCUAGCCUUCGAUGCCAGAGCCAGCAUUCUGAAGCUUUUGCUAGAAGACAUACGGCAAGUUGUGGUCCUGCUGAGAAAUCUACCAUGUACAAAUCAUCUUUCCGAUACCCUUCAAAAACUAGAGACUUGUCAGAUUCCAUUAGAACAAGGCAAUGAUAUUUUCCAAACAUCACAAUCAUGUUUAAAUCGCAAAGCAUUGAGACAGACAUUAAGUUGAAACCAAGGGAUUCAACAAGCAUGACUUUAUCCAUGUGUUGAUCCCUUGAGAUUGCAACUCUACCUAGACCCAAUACCUUGCUUUUACCAGUGUCAGCAAAUGUGAUGUGACUUUUGUCAGAUGGACGUAAGGUUGAGUCCAUAAGUAGACUUCGCUUGCCAGUCAUGUGAUUAGUACACCCACUAUCAAUAAUCCAUUCUGAAGCAGGUGGUGUUGUACCCUACAGUGCAGUUAGGGGGAUAGGCUUCACGAAGAGAAUUGUGAAGCAAAAACAUUUGACGAGCAAGUGGAUUAUGAAAGCUUAGAUCAAGGUUAGGACUUAUAGGGCAAGUAGCAAGCGACUCAAGAACAAAAUACAUAAUAAGACCAUUUGGGCAUUUGAUCUUGCGCCCUGCAAGAUGUUUAAGGUCACCAACAAUAGCUUCAGACAAUUUUGGUUUUCGGCUGGAGACCUUUCCCUGCAAAAAGAGAGUUAAGCUUUCUUAGCCACCCACAUCUUCAAGGGUGGCUUCGAAGCAAUGAGUCUAAGUGCAGCAUCUGAGAACUUUGGCUUUGGGGCCCUUGCAAAAAGUAUUGCAGGUGGACAAUAGUACUCAUAAGAAUAAGAAGAGUAGUUCUUGGUCUUAUGAACAUGGCAGUUUGAUGAAACGCGCUCAUAUUCAUAGGCCUGAGUAAGGUUUCCCUGCAAAACAUUUGCGUUAGUGCGACUCAGGUGAGUCCUCUGUCUGUAUGAAGCCUUUGGACCGUAUGAAGCCUGUGGCUUGGGGUUUGUCUUCUUCAUGUGUGGUGUCAUGACGGCAUUCACAGGAAGAUUCUCCAAACAUCUUUUCGGCACCCAGACUUUCUUCAUAGGCGGCCCAUUCCUGCAGUUAGUACCAAUAUACCUGGCAAACACUUCACCAUUCUGAUUCUUAAACAGUUUAUAGUUUGCAUCAAAGGAUUCAUCAAUAACAAUGGGAUUAGCACAAGUGAAGCCAGAUAGGGUGGAUGGAUCCGCUGAAGGUUCCUUUGCAGCAACCCAUGUGGUUUUGGGGUACUGCUCAGGUUUCCAGUAAGAGCCAUCAGCAUUGAUUUUCCUUUCGAACCCAACACCCUCUUUCCUAGGGUUUCGGUUCAGGAUCUGCCUUUUGAGAACAUCACAUAAUGUCUGAUGCCCUUUGAGACUUUUGAACAUCCCUGUUUCAAGCAAUGUAUUCAACCUAGCAUUCUCAUCAGCAAUAGUAGUGGCAUCCUCAGCAGAGGGGUUAGUUACCAUGUCAACAGUUGAAAAUAUUGCAACAGUAGCAGCAGUAGAACAUUCAGCAAUAGAAGUAGCGUUAUCACACUCAAUGCAUUCAAGACAUGGUGGUUCAAAUCCUUCCUGAGUAGAACUGAUCUGUUUGGCGCGAAGUGACUUGUUUUCCUUUUGAAGAUCUUCAUGAGCCGCUCUCAAUUUCUCAAGAUCUUGCUUCCUUUGAAGAUAAUCAUAGGAAAGCUUUUCAUGAGUUGUUGAGAGCGUUUCAUGACGACUUUCAAGUUCCUCAUACUUAACAUGAAGAUUUUUUAUGUCUUCAAUUAAGGACUGAGAUCGAGUCAUUUCAGCGUCUAACAGGUCAUCGCUUUUGUCUAAUAGUUUUUGAAUAUGUUCCAUAGCUUUCUGUUGUUCAGUUGCAAUUUUAGCAAGUGUUUUGUAGCUGGGUUUGGAACCACAAUGAGAGUCAUCUUCACUUGAUGUUUGAUAGUGAGUGGCGCGUCAGUUUACCUUGGCACCGCGUGCCAUGAAGCAGUAGGUGGGAGUGGAGUUGUCCUUGUCAUUAGCAUCGGCGUUGGUGACGGAGUCAUUGUCUUCAGUAUUGAAGAUGGACUUGGCAACAUAGGCUGUAGCCAGACUUGCAACGCUAGAAUCGGACUCCUCCUCAGACUCCACCUCCGCCUCCUCCGAAGCGGACUCCUCCUCUGAAUCCAUUUCCUUGCCAACAAAUGCAUAAGCCUUGCCAGAUGAGCUCUUCUUGUGUGAUAAAGACUUUGAGGAAGACUUGGAAGAAGACUUUGAGUAUUUCUUCUUCUUCUUGUCGUCAGAAUCAUACUCCUUGCUCUUCUCUUUCUUCUUGUUCUCAUUGUCCCACUGCGGACACUCAGAGAUAUAGUGGCCAAGUUUCUUGCACUUGUGGCAUGUUCUCUUCUUGUAGUCAUGAGCAGAAGCUUCAUCAUUCCUUGAGCUUGAUCGUGAAGACUUUCUGAAGCCUUUCUUCUAGGUGAAUUUUUGGAACUUCUUCACAAGCAUAGCAAGCUCCUUUCCAAUGUCUUCAGGAUCAUCAGAACUGCUGUCAGAUUCUUCUUCAGAUGAGGAGACAACUUUUGCCUUCAAGGCAUGAGUUCGCCCAUAGUUGGGACCGUAGAUGUCUCUUUUCUUAGAAAGCUGAAACUCAUGUGUGUUGAGCCUCUCAAGUAUGUCAGACGGAUCGAGUGUCUUGAAGUCUGGACAUUCUUGAAUCAUCAGGGCUAGGGUGUCAAACAAGCUGUCAAGUGAUCUCAGGAGUGUCUUGAUGACUUCAUGCUUGGUUAUCUCAGUAGCGCCGAGGGCUUGAAGCUCAUUUGUGAUGUCGGUGAGUUGGUCAAACGUGAGCUGGACAUUAUCAUUAUCAUUUCUCUUGAAGCGGUUGAAGAGGUUUUGAAGGACACUGAUUCUCUGAUCUCUCUGGGUUGAGACGCCUUCAUUGACCUUGGAGAGCCAGUCCCAGACUAGCGUAGAUGUUUCCAAAGCACUCACACGGCCAUAGUGUCCUUUGGUCAGAUGACCGUAGAUGAUGUUCUUGGCAGUGGAGUCUAGUUGAACGAAAUUCUUGACAUCAGUAGCGGUGACACCUUCACCAGCCUUGGGAACGCCAUUCUUGACGACAUACCAUAGGUCGACAUCAAUGGCUUCAAGAUGCAUGCGCAUCUUAUUCUUCCAGUAGGGAUAUUCAGUUCCAUCGAAGACUAGGCCCGCAGCGGAGACUUUGAUUAUCCCUGCAGUUGACAUAGCUAAAACUCCAGGUGGUUAAACUCAAUCACACAAAACAAGGGAGUACCUUACUCUGAUACCAACUGAAAGUGCUAGUGAUCGACUAGAGGGGGGGUGAAUAGGCGAUUUUUAUGAAAGUCUUCAAAACAUGGAAGUUCCGAAGACAAACGAUAGAAAUAAACCUAUUACCAUGCAGCAAAAGGUAGACUACACUAAGCAAGCCAUAGUCAAGUAUUCAAUGAAGUGAAAGCACAAAGACUAAUAGCAGCUAGGCAGUAUAGAUCAGGUAGGAAGAUAGUGUGAAGCCAAUCAGAACAAACAGUUACUCAGUGAAGACAAAAGAUAAUGCAAUCAUACAAUGACUUCACCAGGGCCAACAGUAAGUAAAGGAAUGUGAAGGACGAAACCAGUGACUCGUUGAACACAAUUGUUUGUUGGACCAGUUCCGGUUGUUGUGACAACUGUAUGUCUGGUUAGGGAGGCUGAGAUUCAACUCAGAAGACCGCGUCUUCACCUUAUUCCCCUUGAGCUAAGGACACCUAGUCCUCGCCCAAUCACUCUGGUAAGUCUUCAAGGUAGAAUCCCAAACCUUCACAGACUUCGUUCACCGGCGAUCCACAAUGACUCUUGGAUGCUCAGAAUGCGACGCCUAACCGGCUGGAGGAUUCACAGUCCUCAAGUGUAAUAAGUCUUCAGAUCACACAGAUAGGAAGACUUCAGUGAUGCCUAACAAUCUUUGGCUCUGGGUGGUUAGGGCUUUAUCAUCGCAAGGAAUUCUCUCUCAAAGGCUUCGAGGUGGGUUGCUCUCAAAUGACAAUAGUUGUACACUAACUCUGAGCAGCCAACAGUUUAUGGUUGUAGGGGGUGGGCUAUUUAUAGCCACUAGGCAACCCGACCUGAUUUGUCCGAAAUGACCCUUGGUCACUAAGGAACUGACACGUGUUCCAACGGUAAGAUUUCAAACACACACGACAACUUUACUUGGGCUACAAGCAAAGCUGACUUAUCCAACUCUGUAUAAGAUUGCUCUCAUUGUCUUCGCUCGAAGACAUAGGAUUCUGGUUAAGCAUCACUUCAGUCAUUCUGACUGGUUCUCUUGGACCCCACUUAACAGUACGGUGGUUCCUAUAUGACUCAACAAAGAAGAAAAAGAACGACGAAACAUCUAAGUCUUCGCGCUCCACAGUCUUCACACAAUGUCUUCUCUUGUCAUAGUCUUCAAUGUGAAUGUCUUCACAUACCACCUUUGACUUCAAUGUCUUCAUACAUUUUUAGGGGUCAUCUCUGGUAGGAAAACUGAAUCAUUGAGGGACUACUACCUGUGUUAUCCUGCAAUUCUCACAAACACAUUAGUCCCUCAACUAGGUUUGUCGUCAAUACUCCAAAACCAACUAGGGGUGGCAUUAGAUGCACUUACAGUACUGGUCCGGGCCGGAUGCUCGUAGCGCGAUGACCUGAGUUCGAAUUCUAUCCUAAACUUUAGCUUUUAUAUUUUUUUAAUAUAUACUAUACUUAUUUUGCUACUGUACUAGCAUUGGAACCCACAGAGUACUUAGAAUACUACAUUAAGGAUGGAUUUGUUUCUUUUUAACUUUCUAUACGAAUCUGUAGCCAGCCUGCAAGUCAUGUACACUAUACUGACAGUGGAACCCACAGAGUACUUAGAAUACAAGAUUAAGGAUGAAAUUAACUUUUUAUAGAGGGAGAAUCAUACAUGCAAUUAACUCAAAUGGAUUAGACGCGACUAUAUUAUUCUCCAACGGCAACCAGCAAAUUUCCUCCCGUGGGUCGGAGUAGGUUUCUCGAUUUGCAUGCGGGUUUAACGGAGGGGUUUGAUGGAGGCGAGGAGGCGUGUUCAGCCGGGCGUGCAGUGGGCGGCGCAGUACUAUUCGAUUUGACAACUACAACUAGUAUAUUAUAAAAAACAAAGAAGAGUAGUAGAGAUAGAGAUAAGAAUAGAGACUAGGGAGGAGCACCAUCUACUGCUUCGUGGGCUACUCAUGCGCUCCAUUCGGCGGCCGCAACGUCCCCUACAACCACUCCCUCCUGCGCUCCAUUCGGCUGUCGCUGUUGAAAUUUGGGGUGCGCACUCUCGCGACUGCUAGCAGGGACGACUUCACCGACGACGACUUCUUCCCCAACCUCGUCAACCUCUUCCUCAACGACGUGGGCGACAACCUCAACACCAAUGGUGCUGCUCCUGUUGCACCGUAUGUGUUUCUGUCCUUCCUGUUCGAAAUCGUGGUAGAAUUCAUGUUUCUAGUCUGUGUCCUAGAUUCGAUCUGUUCAUCUACUAUGCUAGUCCGCAUGAUUAGUUUAAUAUCUUUUAUAGCCAUCAUGCUUUAUUUUGUGCUUAUUCGGACUAAAUCUCGUAGUAACUUGCUCAUAUAUUCAACUGGCGGAACAUCCCCUACAGCCACUCCCGUUUCAUGGACGGCCUGAUCGAUGCCUCCAAGGAGCCCUUCGCCUACUGCUAUGAGUGCCCGAUGCCAUUUUGGGGCUCGGCGGCGGACAUCGUGCAUCACCUAACGCAGGCGUGCGGCGAUCACUACUGGCCCUUGGCGAAGAACAUCAAGUACGAGACAUGCUACCCGUUCACCGUGCCGGAUGUCACUGGAGGUUCACCACCGUCUGCUAGUCUCAGAGGAGGACGGCAGCGUCUUCCUCUUGAUCGUGGGCACCGGCGAGGCCCAUGCAGGCCGCCGACCCGUCUCUGUAGUGUGCGUCAGGGGCGACGCCGCUGCCGCUGACACUAACACGAGGCCGAUGUACGGGUGCGUGCUCACUAUUACUACCCCUCGAAGGAACGUGGGCAGCGACAUUGGCUACGUCAAGCUGACUUGGACUCUGCCGAGCUGGGACCUUCCCGCCGAUGUGGACAUGGAAGACGCACGGUAUUAUUUGACCCCCAACAAUGUGCAUGGGGACUCCAAGGAGGUUCACCUGGACAUCUGCAUUAUCAAGUUAAAUGUUCAUCAUUAGUCUUCGCUCAAUGUAAUCUGCUGUCUAAGCAUGUGGAGACUUUCAUGCAUGAUCUUGCUCUAUUGGAGUAUCGCGCAUGAAUAAAAGUGUAUCCAUUUAUGGUUUAGUCUAGAAUCUUCCAUGUAUGAAUUUUUACUACAGUACUGGUGAAAGACUUAGGAUGAACCAUUUCUUACAUAUCCUCUGCCCCCUUCCAAGUCAUCCUGAUUUAAUCCCUCCGUCUAGGUGUAUAAGGGCAUGGUUAAUACUUAAAUAGUAUACCCAAUUGUUGACUAUAAGAAAGUGCCAUGUCAUCUAUAGCCAACAUGUAUAACGAUGGAUACUCAAAAACUAAUUCUUGAUGAUCAUUUCUUGCAAAGCACAAUAAGAGUUAUUUCUUCACAAGUUUUGGAUGUAGGUUGAAUAGUUGAAUGCUUUUGUUUGCAAAAUAUACUUUUUUUUAUCUAUUUCACCUGGAUGUUUGUGAGCUCUAGAGAUGAAAUAAUAUCUGGAGAAACCUAUCGAUACCCAUUACACAUGAGAUGACCCCCACAUCCUUUACACAAGAAAUCAAUGCAUUUCACUCUUCCGUGCAACGCACGGGCACUUACUAUAGAUUAGUACGACGAAAAAUUGAACUAACAUUAUAUAUAGUACGAUAAAUGAUGAUGCAUGUCACCUAAAAUUGUAUCAUUGAAAACUAUGUUCAAAUACGAAUCCAAUGAUAUUGUUUUUGUUGACAUGCACUAACAUUUUGUCAGUUAAAUCUUCACUCAAAUUCAAUGGGGGAUAAACCACAACCGAUGUAGUAAACCAUGACCGAGUACUACUGUAGAGGGUGGCGCUGCACGGGAGUCUCACCCCACUCGUGGUGCGAUAGUAAAGUCGUCAUAUCACAAAACCCAACCACUCCCAGUAAUAAGUGGCCUGGUAAAAUAAAUGGACAAGCAACCAUCACAUCCCUCCAUCUUUUUUGCAUUUCAUCUCUCUACAUUUACUUUCUCCGGUUCAUCUCGCACACUCGAUCCCUUGCUUCUACUCCUAGUAUCCCUAGCUACUACUCUUAGGGCCAGUUCUUUUGGCGGCUUCCCCAGCUUUUCCCAUAAGACUAGUCACAGUGGAGAGUAACAUUAAGGCGCCUCACUCAUUUAUUUGGGCUUCUAAACUACUACUUGUAGUACCUCCGUUCUGGUUUAUUCCUCACCAUUGUAAUUUUUGCUAAAUUUUAACCAAAGAUAACAUUUCAUUAGUUAAAUUUAUGAUCAAAAUUUGACACAAAUUACAAUGGGGACCAAUAAACCAGGACGGAGGUAGUAGUUAUGGGAUUACUAAUCUAGAAGCCUAAAUGAACUGGCCCCUGGUACUCCUACUAGUAGUAGUACUCAAGUUGGAAUUCCAAUUGCACGGCACAACUUGUUAGGCAAAAAAAUUGAUACAGGGUGUAGGAAGCGGUUUGGGAAUUUGCAUGCCUUUCGGACCAGUGAGAUACUUCGUACAAAGUAAGACAGAGAAAUGACCACAAAGAAGGAAGCUAAAAGUAAACAAUCAAAUGAGCAUUUUUGCAUUUUUUUUGUAUUGAAUCAUUUCACAAGCUUGACUAGUGAUGUUUUUCUACUUUUACAAAAACCGCAUCGUAAUGUUAAAACGUGCAUUUGCACGUACAUAAGUAAUAGUAGUACUCCCUUCGUCUAGGUGUAUAAGUCUCCCCUCCUUCUUGGUCACGGUGCACAACCAAAGAUGACUUAUUGACCUGUACGGAGGGAGUAGCACAGUCUGCAAGCAUAUAUAGAGAGAGACGUGUAGUGCGGUAGUAUAUAGUAAAGUUUGUGCUAUAUGCACGUACUUACAAAUGCGUACGAAUACAAAAGGUUUCCAAACUUUCCCUUUUACAUACUUAAUUAAGGACGCUAAUAAUUCCCGAAUGUUCAGGAUUUAUCAUUUGCGUCCCAAAACUUAUGAGAUCGCCUUACGAAACAAAAAUUAUACUCCUACUAAAAGCCACGGCGCUCGUAGGAACGCUUGCAGCGCGCCAUGAGUGCCCUGGGGCGCGGCUGUUUCCCAGCGCGCUGACACAACGCCUCUUCCUCAGCAUCGCAACUCGCGAGGUGCUGAUUGGCGGCUUGCCAGCGGGCGAGCGCGAUCUCACCGGUGUGGUGAUCCGGCGCCAGCAGGUACUCCUCCCCGCUGGAAGCGUGCACCCGGUCCACGUACUGCCAAGCGUAGAUGAGGUGCUUGGGCCCUUUGCCACCCUCACGGCCCUCGCACGAGCCUUUUGCCAAAGAGCUAAUUGCCUGACUCUCUCGGACGCGACAUAGGCCUGCCAGGCAGCUUGUUCCGCGGUGCGCUUCUCUUCCUCGGCCUUCUUCUCCGCCUCUAUUUUGGCGCGCUCUGCUGGAGGCAAAGCCUCCCACAAGGAGACAUCCAUUUCUUUCCAAAGCUCCUCAGGGCUGGGGGGCUCGGCGGCCGGCGCGGCGUUCUCCUUGUAGCGGGGAGCCGACGCGUCCUCCGAUGCGCGUGCUGGCGAGAUUGGGAACGCCGACGCAUCCACCUCAAUGCGUCACGGCGAGGAGCGGAACACCGACGCGUCCUCCUUGACUAGUAGUGGCAAGGAAUGGAACGACGACGCGUCCACCUCGAUGCGUCGCGGCGAGGAGCGGAACACCGACGUGUCCUCCUCGACUAGUGGCGGCGAGGAAUGGAACAGAAAUGCGUGACCGUCCGCACGAUGCAGUGAGGGGCGCCUAGGGCCUGGGAGGGGCGAUGCCAUGGUGGUCGAUGUGAGAGGGAGGGGGAGGAGAUAGCGAUGAACGUGAACAUGAGAAAUAGCGAUGUCGUGGGAGGCGCAGUAUUUAUAGCGAGCAAUGGCACACCUACAUAAGAUAUGGAAUGAGAUGCACUGACUUAACUGCAGGUCCAGUUGCGUCACUGACAUGUGGGCCAGACCCCUGUUGGGCCCAUAUGUCAGUGACCCAAUGCACCUGCAGUUAAGUAACUGAAGCAGCAUCCUCGAAGAUAUGUUGCCUGUAACAGCUACGUUGGCAUAUUUGUUGGAGAAAAUUACGGGGGAGGGAAGGGGUGGAAAUAUUGCUGGUCACAAUGGAUUGGACGAGCUCGGGGGGAGGAGAGUUAUGCAUGCAGAUUUUUUCCACAGGGGGUGGAGCGGUGGGACCGCCGGAGGGAGAAGGAGAGUCUGGCAGGCAUAUUGUUUCCACACAUGGAGAGGAAAAGAUUUGGAGACGAACGGGCUUCCUGCAGGUAUGGGGAAUGGUGCAUAAUAAGUCUCAUCUUGCAUGCCGGGCUAGGUAUAGUCUCAAGUCAUUAAAAACAUACACGCCCCACACAUGUUCAUAUUUCAAGGUGCACUAAAUUAUUGCAUGUGAUGAUUAAGGUUGGCCAUAAUCGUGGUAUCUUAGCUGGUAUCAUGCACACGGGAAUAGAAAACAUGCUGAUGUGGCAAAGAAUUAAAGAAGAGAGGGGGGUUAGAGUAAUUAGUGUCCAUGCAUGCAUUGGUAAACACAUUUUUUGUGAAGAACUACAAAAACUAUUCCACCACCUCGAUAUCUUGCUAAGAGUAGGUGAAAUUUUUGAAUCGAGCCCUUUAAACUAGAAGGGAGGUAGUAGUACUCUAAUAGCUAACCUUGGACCUGUUUAGAUCCAUGUGUUAGAGUUAGUUUGGGUUAGUUUGAACUCAACUAACCCAAAAAAAUCUAACCCACCCAAGAGGUGCUUAUUUGGGUUAGUUCUUCUCGGGACACUAAAAAACACAUUUUUCUCUCGCUCUCCCCGCAGGAGAUCCCUCCCCACUUCCUCGAAGCUUCUCCUCCUCUCCCUCCCUCCCUCCUUCUUGCACCGCCCAUGAAGGAACCUCGCCGUAUUCGCGCUCCAUCUAACCCUAUCAUCCAAACACCUCUUUCGCUAGAGUUACUUCAGGGUUAGUUCAAGAUUAGAAUCUUUAACUCAUCUAACUCAUCUAAUAGUAGUUCUUAUAUUCAUUAUAAUCAGUAUUGUAGAUAUUAAUAUUUUUAGUAUAAAUUUGGUCAAACACUUUGCAAACGGUUGACGGAAGUAAAAAGGACCAUAGGGAGUAUCAUGCAUGGGGAGUAGGCAUAAAAAUUGCUCAUUUAUAGCCGGUCGAAGUCUCAAAGGGCGCAACCGCGCGAGGGAGGCGAAGGUCGUGGGAGGCGCGACGGUUGACGGAAUUAAGUGAAGUUACCCACGCGCCGACAUGACGUGCGAACAGGCAGAAGCUAUACCAUCAUGCCUACGAUAUGGGUCUAGUAGACAUGACAUCUAGUGGGUCCCGCAUAGUUCUUGAGAACUCUUUGGGGGCUUGCAGCCGUUUAUCCACCGGGCAAGCCAACAACCCCACGUCGUUAGCAUGCCCUACUUGUCCCCGUCUUCUACUAGUACAAUACCUUACAACAGUUCGCUCCUAGUCGUCCCGUCCUUUCACAUUACACCAAUUCAACUUCUCCUAACCCUCCUCCAAAAUCCAUGGCCUCCCAAAUCUCCAUGGUCGCCGUUGAGUACCAGGUUAGAGCCAUCACCGGUGAUGAGUUUUUUGUCAUCUACACACGUGGAUCCACGACGGUGAAAGCAUGCCUUGCUCGCUUCCUACGCAUGCUAGGAAGAGGGGCGAGGACAAAGUCAAGGACAUGGACUCGGACUCCGAGUAGGUGGCAGUGCCGUCGCUCAUGUUGGUUCUGCUGUAGUGUCAAGCGGACUAGUUGCUUAGUUUAUUUUCAAGGGUGUGUUGUGCUGAGGCCCCAGCAGAACUAUGUUUAUGAUCUUUCUCGUUAUUUUAACUCUUUAGUAUGUACAGUAGUACUAGUACUAUGUCUUACUACUGUUCUUCUUGCAGUUGGUACUACUGCUCCUAUCUUCGUGUUCCUAAUGUACUUAAUACGUUCGUACUAGUAGUAUAAUUUGGGUCAGUCGAUUUGUGAAAUAAGUUCAACGGAGUGAAGGAAGUAGACAGCAUAGAAGCUACCCCAGUAUCUAUAUUAGGGUGGCAGGGUGCCCAUGAUCUAUCUUAUGAGUGUUGGGUGUGGAAUGCAGUUCGCCGGAAAAAAAUGGAUAGUGCCCGGGGGUAAACGGAUGGCGGGGGUGGGGGAGCAUGGCGGUAGCAGGCAGUUCAGGGGAGGGCGCGGUGGCGGCGGUAGGCGGUUAGGCGUGUGGCGGGCUGAGAAGAUGAACUGUGCAUCAAUUUCGGAGGUUGAAGAAGCCCUUCUAGCCAUCCAUGUUGCAUCAAACGGCUCACAAGAGUCGACUGACCCACAUUGCUCAUUCAGAUUGCAGGAUCCACGUGGCAUUCAAGGUCUCGAAGGUAGAUUCCAUGUCCGAACCCGGUUUGCGGGCUCGACACGCGCGCGACCGGCUUCCGCCACGACAGCCACCAUGCGCGCCUCCUCCGCGCGGGCGGAGACGACAAUGACACGCUGGUCCUCCUCGUCGGCGUGCUGGAGCAUGCGCUCGUCCUCCUCUUUGUACGCUGCGUGCAUAGACGCGGCUCCACCAGCUGCUCGCGUGCUUGGCAGCGCGGCGGCAUCACGAGGAGGGACUACAGACGACGUGAGCGGGCGAGCCUUCGGCUUGGCGGUGAUGGGCGAGAAAUUGUUGGCCGUAGUAGGCGGGCGUCGGCAGGCGCAACGGCGCCAGGGGCAUAUUGAUGAGUGCGCGUAUGGGAGCUUAGUUUAGUUUUAUAUAGGGUUGGUCAAACUUAAAAAAACAGUACUAGUACACGUAAAAAUUAGACUUAGGCAUCGGUUAUAUUAGUUACCACAGCCACGAUACAGAAUCCUGCGCAAGCGCGUGAACCGCGGCCGCGCGGUCGAUCGAACGGUGUGUCACCAUGUCGCGCUCGAAGGACAUCCACCAAACCUUUUUAUGUGUGUGAAAACAAUCCCCGAAUAUUACUCAACUUUUUUUUCCGGAAAAGUUCUUGACGCUACAAUAUUUCCAUAUAUUUGAUUUUAGCUCCAGUUCAUGUUUAUCUGGAUUUGGACGUUUUAGGUGCACCCUAGUUUUUUUAAUACUAAUUUUGUGUGUGUGACUGAGAGAGAAUGUGUGUAUGUGUCCAUAUGUGUGUUGUGGUGGAAGGGAAAUGUGGAUACAGUGUGCGUGUGAUAGAGACAUAGAGAGGUGUGAAUGUGCAAAUAAUCAUGCACGAGUGAGACAUAGACAGAUGCCGAUACGUUGUGUACUUGUGUAUACAUGAGAGAACAGUCUUAUAUUUUACUUGUGUGUGUGUGUGUGUGUGAGGGAGAGAAAGGAGCAUCUGUAACACAACAACCAUCUCUCUCGAUGCGUCCGUCCCUCGCACGAUCGCAUGUAACACAUGCAUCAACGCGCACAUUUUGACACCCUCACCCGGCCCCUGCCCACCUCAAGGUCCGCACAUCGCUCUCUAUCUCAGACGCACAUUCUCUUCAUGAAUACCCUGUUUAGCAUGUAGCUUUCCGUCACAUACACACACAUUUCUCUUCGUGAAUACAUCUGACACACAUACACACACAGCACACACACACACCCCCUCCCCCGAGCACACAAUUCAUCCCCAUCCAAGGUUAUAUGGCGACCACUCUCGCUUGUGCUUCUCUGCACCCCAGCAUGCACAACACCUCAAUCUUCAAAGAGGGCAUCGAGGAGAUUGAAGACGGCAACCACACUGCGCUAGAGAAUGCGGGGCCAUUUGGAAGCAGGAUUAUGUGACGACGGCUGAGUGACUCCUCCCCCACCCUCUCUCUCUC
Molecule: long non-coding RNA, 87007 nt
Filed under: Triticum aestivum (bread wheat)
Lineage: Eukaryota; Viridiplantae; Streptophyta; Magnoliopsida; Poales; Poaceae
Description: long non-coding RNA (TAES_LNC009619)
Rfam family: MIR1120/MIR1122 microRNA precursor family (bases 60609-60743)
Source: RNAcentral